AGAAUUAUGACAUUAAAAGUGUUGUCCUCUUUCAUGAUAGACUUAUCUAACAUGUUCUUCCAAUGAUACAUUACCAAUAGGAAGAAUUUUAAGGAUUAGACUACUUAGGUACAUUUACAUGCCAUUUAAAGACAAUCUAUGGUUUUGUAGUACCAAGUCUGGAAACUAAACUUUCGGCUUUUAUUUGUCAAGUGUUGGAUAGCGUUUGCAAAUAUAAUGGUAAAUAAAUACAUAACGAAUAUAAAUUGAUUGAUUUUAAACCAUUUGAUCCGGGUCUUUAAAUCAAAUAGCACCACCCACUAUUUUUGGCAAAUUCCAUAUCCCUCAUUGGAAUUCGAGAGUUUUUGGAGGAAACUCUUAGUAGGGUAUGGGAGACUCACUACUACCAAGCCCACCUCACAAUGAUAUGAUGUUGGCUGGCAUUAAUAAUAAUGAGAGAGUACGCUUACUCAUUCACAACAACCUCUUGUGACUACCCAUCUUUUUGGCCUCUAGAAAACAAUGCCUCACGAUUAUACAAUGUUGGCACCAUUUCUCUUAGUUAAGUUCUUUCCCACCAUGCCGGUUUAGAUAGGGGUUCAAGUAUGACCUCACGAUGAUACGAUGUUGGCCACACUCGUUGCCUACCUUAACCUGAUCAAAUGUUUUAAAUAAACUCCUCCUGAGUAUAAGCAUGCACUUUGCACUCCCCCAUGAUAGGGUGAAGGCGGUGUACAAGUCAUAAACGAUUAGAGCCUACCACGGUGGAAGGCCACGAAAGAGUGUUCAAACCACUCUCACACUUGUCAACUUAAUAAUGGUUUGGUUGAGGGUUUUAGGUCUCAUCACAUAUAAAUAUUCAUUUUAAUCUUUAUUAAAACAAUUUUGGUCCUAUUACAACUAUUGGUCCAUUUGAUUGUUUUAGUUGUAUUUAAUACUCCCACUAUGCUUAUAAAACGGUUUUUAAAGCAAGAGUAUAUGAUACUACUAACAUAAGGUUUGCAUUCAUUGAUGAACUAUAUAGUUGCCUUAGGACCUUAGGAUGACUAUGAACCUUUGUUUAGAUUCAACACGAGCCUAGUGUUGAAUCUCGGUCUAGGGAUGGUGAUUGAUUUUAGUUACGCGUUUAAUCACAUUAAGGUGUGUUGUCUUAGGGGCGUUGGACCCAACUACUUCAUUUUCAUGCAUAUCAAAUAAAGCAAGAAAGAAGUACUUCAAAGUAAAGGUGAGCUUAUGCUCAUUACAACAUUUGCAUAAAUUAAAUUACUUUAAAGUAAAGAAGAGCUUAUGCUCUUUUACAACAUUUGAUCAAAUCAAAUUACAACCAAAAUCUAAUCUAUACAUUCCCAUGGUUCAAACAAAUUUGAAACGGCCUUUCACAUAGCUCAAUUAUCGUAGGCUUAGGUUCAUAAUCACCCUUUAAUUAAUUAACACUUUAACUAAUUAAAUUGAAUGCAACAUUUCAUUUGGUUUUUGUAUCCAUAAGAUUGAUUUAAAUGGAGCUAAAUGAAAUGAAAAUCCAAUUCUCAUUUAAGGAGACAAAACAAUUUUGUUCUCAACCUAAUUUGGGCCAUCAUGCAAUAACCACAACCUUUUGGGCUAUAAAGCAAUUAACCUCAACUUUUGGGCUAUAUUGCAAAACUUUUGGGGUCACUUUGUAAAAACACAAAUGUCCACUACUUCAUGUAAUUACAACUAGAACCCAAAAUUUUAAUAAUGCAAAAACUUCAUUAAAGGAGCAAAACAAUUUGUCCUUUAGCGUUUUUGGACCUAAACGUAAAAACGUAAACUUUUGGGCCAAAGUGCAAAUACACAAAAGUAUCAAAACUUUAUGUAAUUGCAUAAAAGCCCCAAAAGUACCCUACAUGUAGGGUGGCCGGUUUUGGAGAGGAGAUGUGAGUGAUGUGUGUGUUGAUUUGUGAGUUUUGACAUAAAGCAUGCAAGUGGUGCAUGACAUAAAUGUCAUGCAAGUGGUGUGUGUGAAAGGAAAUUAAUCCUUACACACCCACCAAUAUUUCUUACACCUUUUAAACAAAUAUCUAAUACAUUUAAACAUUUGAAAAACAUAAAACAUAAACUUUAUGAAAUAAAUCAAGACUUUGAAUCAAAACACCAAACUUUUUGUUCUUGGCAAAAAUGUCAAGAACAAUGAAGAACACUCAUGAAAAACUCAAAACCAUUCAAACUUAAGGGAAAUAACAUAUAACCAUUCAAACUUAAGGGAAAUAACAUAUAACCAAACUAGGGUACAUAGGGGUUCCAAAAGUUACUUGAAAACACUUUUAACAAGUCAAACAAGAACCCAAAAAUCCACCCUUUGGAUUUGGCCGAAAAUUCCCAAAAACAUGGCACCAAAUUUUAGCUCAAAUAUUCAUGCUCAUAUGAACUACAUCUACAACAUUUGAGAUGGCAAAUUUUCCAACAAAAUUUACAUUCAAAGAAACAAGAAUAAAGCUUGUAACAUAUUACAACUUUUAAAUCAAAACUAUGAACUACAAAACCCAAAAGGAUUCACCAACUACUAGACCUAGGCUCUGAUACCACUUGAAGGAUGAUUUUGUGAAAACAUGUUCAUUUGAAUAACAUCAUAUAGCAUGCAAUUAACAAUUAAAGGUGGAAUCAUGCUUGCAUGCAUUCAAAUACAAAACAUUACCCAUGAAAUUCAAAGUCUAGUAGAUUGGUGAACCAAGACUCAACUCAAAUCAAAGUGAGUUGAGAAAUAUAUACCUUUGUAGAUUCCUCUUUGCAUAAGCAAAGGCUAAUCACCCAAAGAGAGGGCCUUCAUUCCUUGCUUCUUAGAUCCAUGGAUUUGGAUGGAAGAAUAUGGUUCUCCAAGUUCCCAAAAUUGAGAACCUCUAAGGGGGCGUUUGUUGCGCUGGACUAUCUCGGACUGGACUAGCUUCAAGGACUAAGCUGGACUGGCUUAGACUAGACUAAGCUGGACUAACUUAGUGAAGCGUUUGGUGCAGUGUUGGACUAAGAAGCGGAUAAUAACAAAUUCUAAUAUUAUAUUAUUUAAUAUAUAAAUUAAUAAUAUUUUAUUAUAAUCUCGGUGACCGGAGAUGACGAGGAGUCUAUCGGGAGUGGUUGUUGAGCAUGACGAGGACGAGAGAGGAUAGUCUUAGCUAGUCCCAUGGUUAUUGGGGGGUCUCACUAAGACCUCUUAGUGAAGGGUUUGUCCAUGCUAGUCCCCUUUAGUCUCAUUAAUGUUAGUCCCAGCAUGAAACAAACACAGUAUUGGACUAACAGCUAGUCCAGUCCAGUCCCAUUUAGUGAGGGCAAACAAACGCCCCCUAAGUGUCUACACCAAGGUUAGAUUGGAGAAGAAAUGAGUGACCUUGGAGGAGUGGGAUUGCUAGAUAUACCCUCCAAGGGGGCCGGCCUCCUAGAGAGAAAAGAGAGCUUUGUGUUCUCUCCAAUGUCCUAAAAGAAACCCUUUAAUGAAUUUUAGGCUAUAAAAUUCUUUAUAUAGUCACUUCUUUAAAUGACUUAAGAACCAAAACCCUAAUUCAACACACAUGGCCGGCCAUAUAAUGGAUUUGGGCUUUUGGGCCUUUGUGAAUCUUUAUUCAUUAAAUUGUCAUACAACUUAAGUCAAUGGGCUUGACAUUCGAAGCCCAUUGGGCCUUAAGGUCCAAAACUAUCCCGAGGUCUUUAACGAACUUAUUCGUUUGAUUAAUUAACAUAUUAAUUAAUCCUUGCCAUAAAUAAUUAAACCAUUUAAUCAUUCUUACUCAUCUCCAUUGUUUCUUCAAUCUCCACCUUACACGGUGUACGAUCCAUUAGGUUCCUUUUAGCGCGGCAGUGGGCGAUUAAAACUCUUUAAAAUCGAUUGUGAAUUGAAACUUACUUUCAAUUCUCCCUUUAGUGGAAGACUACGACGAAGACGGUGGUGAAGGCUCUGAUCUUUCAACUAGGUUGUUUCUUCGAAGGUGACUUGAUGAGCAAUCUCGACAAGUUGAACAGACAGUUGUCUAAAAAAUGAACAAUUUGCUCGAGGUAAUACGAAGUAAUGGUGAGACCCACACCAAAUUGCUCAAAUUAUUAGUUAGCAGAGUAUUCGAAUGAGGACUUGCCAAUUAGGCUCAGCAGUUUCCACUUAAAAGUAAUCAGCUACAGGCCGAAGUAGCGUCUACUCGGCCCAAAGUGAUUGACUUAGAAAAAAAUGGAGGAUUAAGUAGUAGGUCAGAUGGAUCCAACCAGAGAAUGGAAGUGACAUCCGUUGAUAUGACCGAGGUCCAACGGAUGAUGUAUUCGACCAUGAAAAAGGGGCCGAAGUUCCCGAAAUUCAUCCAUCCAUAUCCAGCUUAUGUGGAAAAGUUCGAAUAUCCUAAAGGUUUCAAGAUUUCAGAUUUCAGUCUUUUUGCUGAAGAAUCAUCCUUAUCCUCGUUAGAACAUGUGACCCGUUUCACUGCGCAAUGCAGAGAUGUCAAUAGUGAUUUCCAUAAACUAUGGUUGUUCAAAUUUUCAUUGACAGGCUCAACAUUCGCAUCGUAUAUCAACCUCCCACCUAAUUCUAUCCAAAGCUGGGAGGAGUUGGUCCAGAAGUUUCACAAACAGUUCUAUCGGUCGGGGAUGGAAAUGUCAGUUUCUUCAUUGGCUAUGAUGGCUCAAGCAUCUGAUGAGUCACCAAUGGACCAUCUUACAAGGUUUAAAUCAGCCAAGAAUUGGUGUUGAGUACCUCUUCCCGAAGUCGAAUUUGUUUGGCUUGCUCUGAAUGGGCUCGACGUGGAGUACAAAAAGAAAUUCCUGGGGGUAAACUUCCGGGAUAUGUAUGAGUUAGCCUAACAUGUCGAGCAAUAUGAUUAUUUGCUUCGAGAAGAAAAGGUCUCAAAAUCCCCAUCCCUAGGAACGAUUUACAAAAAUCCCACGGUCAGCUACGUAUUGGCUGAAGGCGAAGAUUCCCAAUACGUCAGUGUGGACGCGACCGAGAUAGUAAUAAAUAAACCAUAUAUUUGCAAGGCAUUGACUUAAAUUAAUUCCAAGAAUGCCAAAACCCACUCGACCACUGAAGAGACAGAGAAAACAUCGAAAGUUUACACUUUUGAUAUCACAAAGGUCGAGGCAAUUUUCGACCAAUUGUUGUUAGUAAAGAUUAUCAAACUUCAGCCAGGACAUACCAUUCCCAAGGCCGAAGAGCUUAAAGGGAAGAAGUAUUGCAAGUACCAUAACUCGACUAAGCAUACCAUGAACAAUUGUGUCAUAUUCUGUGAUGAUAUUCAAAGCUAGAUUGACAAGGGCAAGCUAAAGUUUCCCGAAAAAUGAAUGAUGAUUGACGCUGAUCCAUUCCCUUCGCCAACAGUUGGCAUGGUAGACGCCUACUUUCCCAAGAGCAAAGGGAAAGGGAAGGUCGAGUUUGUCCCAGUACAACAUGUCCCAAAGAAAAACUCCCAGCCACGACUCAAGAUUGACUUAUUUUCCAAUGAACCACCUACCAAGUAUUUGGGACCAACUGUAGUCGAAUCUAUGUUAGAUUCCAGUGCGGAAGAAAUUGAUGGGCCGAUGGUUUUGUGUAGCAAUUGUAGGGCACGCGUUGUAUUAACCGAAUCCAAUGAGAGAUCAACACCACGACAACCAUCCAAGUCCGCGACGACACACCCAAAGGAACUUGGCGGAGGCCUGAUAGAAGCAUAUUUAUGCGACUUAGUUAGCCUGUUCUUGUGCAUUUGUUUUGUUAUUUCUUAGUUAAUAUAGUAUUUCAAGUCAUUUUUGUGUGUUUGUAGGUCCAAAGGAUUAAAGAGACAAAGAAAUGCAUUUUGGAGCCGUUUUGGGCAUAAAAUGGAUAUCACAUGCUUGGAGCCAAAUGGAUGGACGAAAUUGAAGAUUAAAGAAGCUUGGAAUCUGCCAAAGAAAAGGAAAAGAAGUAAUUCAAGUCAAAAAAGGAAAAGGAAUCCAAGAAGAAGAGGGAUUGGCCGAGUCAAGGUUUCCUAAUCCUAAUGCAUAAAGGCUUCAGCUACAAGGAGGAGUCCUAAAUACUUUGGGACACAUAAUUCUCAGCCUUUGUAGGUUGCCGCACCUUUCCCUUCACUUCCCUUCCCUUGCCGCACAAGAAAACCCAUUCCCUUUAGAAUUAGGGCAUUGCCGCACCUAAAUCAGAAAGGAAAUUCUUUUUUCCUUGCCUUGCAAGGCAUUCCCUUGCCCUUUCCUUCUCAGCCGCACCUCAUGUCCUUAUUCCCUUGGGAUUUUGGCUCUAACUCCUAUUUCCUCUAAAUUUUGGAUUUAAUUCUGCAUCUUGUUACCCAAAAGCCUUUAAAUAAAGACAUCCAGCCGCAUUCUUCCCAUCCAUUCUCAAAAACACAUCCAGCCGCAUUCAUCCUUCGCAAACCCUCAUAGUUUCUGACCUCAAUCCAUCCAAAACAUCACCAUACCUUUUCCCAUCCAUUCCUCUAUACAAAAAACCUUUCAAACCAUCACCAAUACCUUGUGCCGCAACAAAGGAAGGGAAGGAAAGUGCCUGGAGGUGUUUGCUGUCCAAUUUGGAUCAUUGGAGCGUUUUAUGUGUUUUCUUUCUUUUGUUUCCAAUGUAUAAUUCUGUUUAUCUUUGUUUUGCGAUUAUGAGGAACUAAGCCCUUUUUAGCUAGGAGGCUAUUCAAAACCAUGAUUAUACUUGCAUUAUGAAUUGAUUACCUUCAGUUGUUAUUUCAUAAGUUAUGAAUUCAAUUUGCUUAACCGUUUGAUUGAUAACUUAUUCUUGUAUGUUUAUUAAGAGUGCACGCUUAGUUCUCAUGCAGGGAUUUGAAGCUAAAAUACAAGGGAGUUUCACCUAAUAGUUACAAACUUAUAUUUCCAAGUAGUGGAGGUCGCUUAUAAACGAUCGCGUUAAGUGAAUUCUUGGCAGGAGUAUUAUGCUCAUCAUAGUUACGAAUGCCUCGUCAAAGCUUAUAGAUUUCAUGGAGCUUAAUGAUCUUUGAUUGUACAUUUAUUGUGCUUUUCACGUAGGGGACUUUUAAAGAAUGUUUUGAAUUGUUGUAUGUGCUUUCCCAUCCAAUUCAAUAACUUAAGGAGAACUUGAAGGUUAAAAAAGUGUUGUCACGGUUAACCUGAGGUAUUGAGUUUCAUGGUCUUUUGAAAGAAACAAUUGGAUAUCAAUUUGAAUGCAAGUGUGUCAUGUGUGGAGAAGAACCUUCUAGCUAGCCCAUCAUCCAUCUAAUUCAACCAAUUUUGUGCAAAUCUGUCUAGUUCUAGUUCUGGCUUUGUUUUACUUUAUUUUCGUCCAAAACCAAAUCCCCCUUUACUUUAGAGUGUCUAAUUAGUUAGAAUCUGUUUAGUUUGUGUUUUUUAAGUGUUUUGAGUCAAGUUAAAACCAAUUUUCAUCCAAAGUCAUUCCUAGUGUCUAGUUUGAGUCUAUUUAGUUGUUUUAAGCUGUUUUGAGUUAUUCUAGUUAGUUUUGAGUCUUUUCAGUUUGUUUUGAGUUCUUUGAGUCUAGUUAAGUGUUUUAACAAUCCAUCCUAAUCCCCGGUUUAAGAACGAUCCAUACUUACUUAUAUACUACAAUUGUCAAAAGAGGGUUUAAUUUGUGUGUUAAGUUAAUUUUUGCAUCAAAUUUUGGCACCGUUGCCGGGGAUUAGCAACUUUUAUAAUCCCUUGUUAUUUCUUUUUGUUUAUUUUGCGUAUGUUUGUGUUUUAGCUUCUGACCAUUGCUUGUUUUCUUGUUUUAGGUAGUUUAUGACUCGAAGUUCUCAACCUGUUCGUGAGCACAUCCUUGACUUUGACGACGAUUUUGAAUGAACUUUGAGACGAGCAAGGAAUCAACAAGAACCCCAACCACCUCAACUUGCACCAGAUCUUUAAGAAGAUGAAGUACAAGUGGAAGAGGAGGCCACGACUCAGAUUUUUUAGUAAGAACAAGUUAUGGCAGCUGACAAUCGAACAAUCAAAGAGCUUUCCGCUUCGGGAUUGGACAAUGCCAUGCCCUUAUGCAUUCAAUAUCCAAGGGCUGCCCAAGACAAGACUAACGAGUUCAAAUUAAAGUCUAUCCUAUGGCACCAUAUUCCUAAGUUCCAUGGGUUGUCCAUGGAAGAUCCUAAUAAACAUUUGAAGGAGUUUGAGGUUGUUUGUUCGAGUAUGAGCCUCGUGAAUGUUGAUGGGAGCAUUUUGAAGAUGAAGGCUUUUCCCUUUUCUCUCUUGGAAAAGGCUAAAGAUUGGUUGUAUGAACUAGCUCCCGGAACUAUCACAUCUUGGGAGAGCAUGAAACGGGCAUUCUUGGAGAAGUCUUUCCCAACUACUUGAGUUAUUCUUCUACGCAAAAGGAUUAGUGGCAUUUAGCAAAACCAAGGUGAAUCAUUCCUAGCUUACUACGAGCGAUUCAAGACCCUUGUUGCCUCAUGUCCUCAGCACCAAAUGAAGGAGGAGCUUUUUCUUCAGUAUUUCUACGAAGGGCUUCUACCAAUAGAACGCUAAAUGCUAGAUGCCUCAGCGGGAUGAGCUUUGGUGGACAAAACACCCAUGGCUGCUAAGACACUAAUUGCAAACUGUGCAUUGAAUGCACAAUAAUAUGAAGCCAUUGGGCAAAGGGACACCCCACGGCAGCAAGUAAAUGAGGUAAGUUCCACAUCCAAUAUUCAAUCUCAAUUAGCUAAUCUUACUUCCAUUGUAUCUCAGAUGGCCGAAGGGAUGAAGAUGCAUGGACCAAUUGUGUGUGGCCUGUGUUCUAUCCAAAGACACUCCUCUGAAAAGUGCCCUCAAUUAAUUGAGAAUGGUGGAUGGGAAAGCGCUAAUGCUGUUGGAUUUCAAGGGCAAAACCAGCCAAGGAACGAUCCAUACUCCAACACAUAUAAUCCAGGUUGGAGAGACCAUCCAAAUUUCAAGUGGAGGGAGCCCCAACAAACCGAACAACAAGGAGGCUUUAGGCAGCAACCCCCAGCCUUCUACACAAAGUCAUACGCACCCACACAAGCCCCACAACAAUCUGCCCAAAACACUUCAGGUACUUCUUUGGAUAAUGACACACUUAUUAAGUUACUUACCAAUUUGUCUCAGGGGCAAGAAAAUCACACCAAAGCAAUGCAAAACCAAGACAAACCGGUGGAUCAAUUGGAGAAGCAAAUUGGGCAAAUUACCGAGUUUGUAGGGCAGUUUCAAGACCAAGGAAAACUCCCUAGUUCAACCAUUGCAAAUCCAAGGGGAGGUUUUGAAACGGCCAAGGCAAUCAUCUUAAGAAGUGGCAAGGAAGUCGGGGCAGGUUCACAACCAUCAAAAUUAGGUCACAAGGAAGAUGAAAGGUUGCAAAUUGAAGAGGAGGAAUACACUCAACCCACGGCAAGGGUGGAAACACCUUUGCCGCAGGCCCCAAGUGCUCCUAAACCAUCAAAUCUGUCCAAUAAAGGUAAGAACGUGUCAAAUUCAAUUCCUACUAAUGUUAUUCCUUCGAAUGUACCUUUUCCUCAUAGAUUUAUGCAAUCAAAGAAGGAGGAGGCUGAAAAGGACAUCCUGGACACUUUUAGGAGUCAACAUUCCACUCCUUGAUGCAAUUAAACAAGUUCCUAGGUAUGCCAAGUUUUUAAAAGAACUUUGCACAACUAGGAAGAGAAUUUCGAGCAAGGAGGUUGUCAAGGUAAGUGAAAAUGUCUCAGCUAUUUUACAACAUAAACUGCCCCCUAAAUGCAAAGAUCCGGGUAGUUUUACAAUUCCAUGCGUUAUUGGGAAUACUAGAUUUGAGCAUGCCAUGUUAGACUUAGGUGCACCCAUUAACGUCAUGCCAUACUCUAUUUAUGCAUCAAUGAACUUAGGGGAGUUGAAAAAUGAUGGAGUUAUUAUCCAAUUGGCCAAUCAUUCUAAUGCAUAUCCAAAGGGAGUUUUGGAGGACGUUUUGGUGCAGGUUAAUCAUCUUAUCUUCCCAGCAGAUUUCUAUGUUCUAGAGAUGGAAGAUUCAAGCCAUUCUUCCCCGUUGCCAAUCUUGCUUGGACAACCAUUCAUGAAGACGGCUUAAACCAAGAUUGAUGUGGCUAAGGGAGCAUUAACAAUGGCGUUUGGUGGCGAUAUGAUUCACUUUAAAAUUCCUAAAUAUAUUAAGAAUCCUACUGAUGUUCGUUCUUGUUUUUCCAUUGAUGUAAUUAAAGAUGUAGGGCAUGAAAAUUCAACACCAAUUAAGAAGGAUGGAUUUCAAACCACCAAAGAAGAGGGAAUUGGAGUGGAGCACAAAGAACAUGCCACUAACCUCAAAAUGCACAAUCUGGCUGAGAGCACCAUUGGAGAAUCUGUUGACAAUGCUGCCAUUCCAUUGCAACAUUGGUGAGUCAUUUAGUCCACUUCCAAUUCCCAUUUCAACUAAUAGGUUGUUACCUUCUUUGGUGCAGGUCCCCAAUCGAAUCCAUAAUGAUGGGAGCAUUUACAUUGACUUUAGAAAGCUAAAUGCCACAAUCAGGAAGGAUCAUUAUCCUCUUCCAUUGAUGCGAGAAUUACUUGACACACAAAUUAAACCCUCUUUUUGACAAUUGUAGUAUAGAUGUAAGUAGGGUAUCGUUCUAGGCCGGGGAUUAGGAGGGAUUGCUAAUCUAUUCUAAAUUAAUUUAAAAAUAUUAAACAAGACUCAAUGACACAAAACUAGGCUAAAAACUCUAAUAACUCGAAACACACUUAGAAUGACUUAAAAUAAUGAAAACAAUCAAAUUAGACACUAGGAACUGAAAUGGACGAAAAUUAAAUUAAAAGACUAACAAUAAAGAAAACUAACAAAAAAAAUAUAAUUUAAUAAUGGAUGGGUGUUUGGUUUUGAUGAAAAGUAAAUUAAACUUAAUUAAAUUACAGAAUUGACAAAAACAUGAAAUUAAGGUGAAAGGAUAGAUGACGGACUAGCUAGAGGGUUUUUCUCCACACAUGACACAUAUGCAACCUAAAUUGAUUUUUCAGUUGUUCUUUCAAUAAAUUGUAAAUCUCAAUGCCCCAAAUUAACCGUGAAUUGCACUAAUUAACCUUCAGUUUUUUCCACAAGUUUAUUGGGUUGGAUGAUUGCAUACGACAACCCAAAACAUUCCCUACAAGUUCCCUACAUGAAUUGCAUAAUAGAGAUACAAGCAAGAAUCAUUAAGUUCUAUGAAAAACAUAAGCAUUGACGAGGCACUCGUUACUAUGAUUUGCAUGAAACUUAUGCCAAGAAUUUACUUAACGUGAUUGUGACUAGCAACCUUUACUACUUGUGAAUAUAAGUUCAUAACGAUUAGGUGAAAUUCACUUAUAUUCUAGCAUCAAAUUCAUGCAUGUAAAUUAAGUAUGCAUCCUUAAUCGACAUACAAAAAUAAGUUAUAAAUCAAGCAGUUAAGCAAAUUAAAUCACAACUCAGAAAUCACAACUGAAGGUAAUCAAUUCAUAUUACAAAUAUAUUCAUGGCUUGAAUUAACCUCUAGCCAAAAUAAAUUUAGUUACACAUUAUUAUCAAAUUAAACCAGAAAUUAAACAUAAGUUGGAAAGUUUUAACCGAAAGAGUAGAAGCUUGCUGUUUCUGUUUCUGUCCGUGCUCUCACGCUGGUUCUGCCCUCAGUAGGGCAGCUUUCCUUUCCUGCCCACCGCCUCUGCACGUCACCUUGUUUCACGCUGCCAAGAGCAGCAAGAGCUCUCGGUUCUCUCCCUCUGACUUCUGUCCGCACAGUUUUCUGUGCUGCCCGUGCCUUCUCGGUUUUCUGCUGCCGCAAGGCAGCUGUCUCUUCGUCCAGCCUUCUCUCCCCGCGUCAAUCUCUCCCCACGCUGCCCACUUUGACUAACCUCUGGCUGCGCCAGUCUCUUGCUGCCAAAGGCAGCACCUAAUCUCUCCCUUUCGUUACUGACUUGCUGACCAGUCCUUGCUCAAGCUGCCAAAUGGCAGCCCCUAUUCUUUCCUUCUGUGGACUGUCAGUCUCGCUGCCAAAGGCAGCUCUCUACCUUCCACCAAUCCCCCCUCUUGCUGCUGACCGCCAAGGCAGCUAUAAGCUGCUUCUUAUUUCCUUUUCUUUUUUAUUUUCUGUCAGUACCCUCUUUGUUUAUUCCCCCCGUGCUCACCUCCCCCUCCACUUAACUGCUUCUUAUAUUUUAUUCUUCCACUAAUCCAUUUUGUCUGCCUGUUUCUUUGCUUUUAUCAUUUUCUGUUUCUUUUUGUUUUCUAUUUGCUUCACCAACCACACUGCCAAAAUUUGUAAUACAAUUCCUCCAGAGACCAAAAUUACCAAGGCAGCAAGUUUUCCAGUGUGCAAGCAAGCACUAACCUGAAAUCAUGUGGUGCUUAAAAUAAAUAUAUGGAAAGCAUAACUCAGCAAAUUGACAAUAGCAAAUAAAAGAAAGCAGUCAUGAAAAUAACGUAAAUAGAUCUUAUUUGUGCUAUUUUUGUUUUCUUUACAUAACAGAUCUUAUAAACACAAAAAUAACAUAAAUAGCUCAAAAAUAUAAGGAACUAACUAAGAAAAGACGAGUGAAUUUGAAGUAAAAAUAUAUAUAAAUAUGAUCAUAUAUAUACAUGUAUUAAUAAUUCCGUUCUCGCUUCUAAGUAGUACCAUUCCGUUCAUGAGAUCAUAUAUAUACAUGUAUUAAUAAUUCCAGAAAUUGCUUCUUUGUUGAAAAACAUAUGUGAGUACUAGUCUUCAUGUUUACAUCAAUCUUCUCACAUAUAUCUAGUAGAGGGAGUGUAGUCAGAAAUUCUUGUGUGAAAACAAAAGUGUACUUAGUGAGGAAUUGAGUGAACUCUCUAAGGCAUGUUACUCCAUUCAAAAUGUUGUUUUAAUUGAUUAAAUGUGAGCUAGUGAAUGGUGACUAUGAUUAAGUAUGCUUGAGUGUAAGGAUUGCUUAAAUCUAUGUGAGUAGUGAUGUUUGGCAUGUUAUGUUUCAUUGGAAAUCCCUGAGGCAAAUGUUGGAAGGUCUAGGUUAUGUUUUGUUUGUUUUGUUUUGCUCGAGGACUAGCAAAAGCUAAGUGUGGGGGAAUUUGAUAGGAGCAUGUUUAUGCGACUUAGUUAGCUUGUUCUUGUGCAUUUCUGUUGCUAUUUCUUAGUUAAUGCAGUAUUUCAAGUCAUUUUCGUGUGUUUGUAGGUCCAAAGGAUUAAAGAGACAAAGAAAUGCAUUUUGGAGCAGUUUUGGGCAUAAAAUGGAUAUCACAUGCUUGGAGCCAAAUGGAUGGACAAAUUGAAGAUUAAAGAAGCUUGGAAUCUGCCAAAGAAAAGGAAAACAAGUAAUUCAAGUCAAAGAAGGAAAAGGAAUCCAAGAAGAAGAGGGAUUGGCCGAGUCAAGGGUUCCUAAUCCUAAUGCAUAAAGGCUUCAACUACAAGGAGGAGUCCUAAAUACUUUGGGACACAUAAUUCUCAGUCCUUGUAGGUUGCCGCACCUUUCCCUUCACUUCCCUCCCCUUGCCGCACAAGAAAACCCAUUCCCUUUAGAAUUAGGGCAUUGCCGCACCUAAAUCAGAAAGGAAAUCCUUUUUCCUUGCCUUGCAAGGCAUUCCCUUGCCCUUUCCUUCUCAGCCGCACCUCAUGUCCUUAUUCCCUUGGGAUUUUGGCUCUAACUCCUAUUUCCUCUAAGUUUUGGAUUUAAUUCUCUAACCUAAAUUAAUUUAUGCGUCUUGUUACCUAAAAGCCUUUAAAUAAAGACAUCCAGCCGCAUUCUUCCCAUCCAUUCUCAAAGACACAUCCAGCCGCAUUCAUCCUUUGCAAACCCUCGUACUUUCUGAUGUUAAUCCAUCCAAAACAUCACCAUACCUUUUCCCAUCCAUUCCUCCAUACAAACAACCUUUCAAACCAUCACAAACACCUUGUGCCGCAGCAAAGGAAGGGAAGGAAAGUGCAUGGACGUGUUUGCUGUCCAAUUUGGAUCAUUGGAGCGUUUUAGGUGUUUUCUUUCUUUUGUUUCCAAUGUAUAAAUCUGUUUAUCUUUGUUUUGCGGUUAUGAGGAACUAAGCCCUUUUUGGCUAGGGGGCUAUUCAAAACCAUGAUUAUACUUGCAUUAUGAAUUGAUUACCUUCAGUUGUUAUUUCAUAAGUUGUGAAUUCAAUUUGCUUAACCGUUUGAUUGAUAACUUAUUCUUGUAUGUUUGUUAAGAGUGCACGCUUAGUUUUCAUGCAGGGAUUUGAAGCUAAAAUACAAGGGAGUUUCACCUAAUAGUUAUAAACUUAUAUUUCCAAGUAGUGGAGGUCGCUUAUAAACGAUCAUGUUAAGUAAAUUCUUGGCAGGAGUAUCAUGCUCAUCAUAGUUACGAAUGCCUCGUCAAAGCUUAUAGUUUUCAUGAAGCUUAAUGAUCUUUUAUUGUACCUUUAUUGUGCUUUUCACGUAGGGGACUUUUAAAGAAUGUUUUGAAUUGUUGUAUGUGCUUUCCCAUCCAAUUCAAUAACUUAAGGAGAAUUUGAAGGUUAAAAAAGUGCUAUCACGGUUAACCUGGGGUAUUGAGUUUCAUGGUCUAUUUAAAGAAACAAUUGGAAAUCAAUUUGAAUGCAAGUGUGUCAUGUGUGGAGAAGAACCCUCUAGCUAGCCCAUCAUCCAUCUAAUUCAACCAAUUUCGUGCAAAUCUGUCUAGUUCUAGUUCUUGCUUUGUUUUACUUUAUUUUCGUCUAAAACCAAAUUCCCCUUUACUUUAGAGUGUCUAAUUAGUUAGAAUCUAUUUAGUUUGUGUUUUUUAAGUGUUUUGAGUCAAGUUAAAACUGAUUUUAGUCCAAAGUCAUUCCUAGUGUCUAGUUUGAGUCUAUUUAGUUGUUUUAAGCUGUUUUGAGUUAUUCUAGUUAGUUUUGAGUCUUUUCAGUUUGUUUUGAGUUCUUUGAGUCUAGUUAAGUGGUUUUAGCCUAGUUUUAUAUAUUUGAGUCAGUUUAGAGUGUUUUAGCAAUCCCUCCUAAUCCCCGGUUUAAGAAUGAUCCCUACUUACUUAUAUACUACAAUUGUCAAAAGAGGGUUUAAUUUAUGUGUUAAGUUAAUUUUCACAUCAAAGCCAACGCCAGAAAGUGUUCGAUAGGCUCGACCCUCAAGAAUGGACAGAUGGUCCUACCUCGACCAGACGGCGCCCUGACUUCGACACGUCAUUUUAUAACAAGGAUUAUUACUCGCGUAAUUCUAGCAGCUUAAGUUCAUUGACGAAUCAGAAAACCUUCGAACCGUCUGAACCACGCGACCAACAUUGGUACAAUUACAAUUCCCCCACUGGUAUGUAUAUUGCCCUAUCCAAGUCUAAAAAAUGUCGACGUCAAUGGAUAGAUUGCAUGGCUCGAGGAUAGGCAGCACAGGCUAUUCUAAGUACUAAAUGGCAGCCGAAAGAGGCAACAAGAAGCGACUAUGACUGACGUACCUCGACCAUCAUGGCCGAAUUACUUCAAGAGAUAAAGGCAGUUGAUCGUUUCGAGCAUUUCAAAAAAGAAGUUGAAAGCAAGCUUCCCACAUUGCCCCUGCAAGUUUCAUUAAUAAAGAUUCGGUGAAACCUGCACCCUCCAUUCCUCGACGAAUCCUUGGAGUAUAUGCGCGAAUUUCAUAAGGAACAUUCUACCAAUGACUUGUACGGCCUGCCCAAGGCAUGUCAAGAAGCCCUCGACCUGGAACUAACUUGCCCUGAUGCUGAUUAGAUUAUCCAGAAAACCACCGAUCCAGCAAUGAAAGCCGGGUUCUAGCACAUACAAGAAGCCAGGGUCCUUGGCUUUGAGGUCGAUCCAUACACGGACAUUGAUAUAGCCGAGCUUCAUUUCUCUCUUGACGACCUUCAAUAUUUACGACUCCACUUCCAAGUCUUUUCGACCAUAUCUCUCUUCGGUCUUACAGUCAAUGAAAAAGAUCGGGUGACGCGACUGGAUGCCUACCUAAACACAAGGGACGCCCGGAUCGCCUACGAGGAACGAGCUCGUAAGGCAUUGCAGGGGCAAAAUCAGACACCAGAAACGAAUGGGCUCGACGACAACAGUCAGAAGGAAGCAAGGUCAGGUUACAUGGAACAAGAGCAAAUACGUGUUGAUACAUACGAUAAUCAGGCCGAUAAUGUUUUAACGAUCGAUGCUGCAGUCCUCGAUAACUCAGAAGACGACGACCAGGAUCCAAUGGGCCCUUCAGUCCUUGAGAACAUGGAAAUCAGUAUGGUCCAUGUUUUACCUACUGAAUUCCAGCCAAUUACACACCAACCAAAUUUCUUGGAUGGUGAUGUGGUGGCUAAGGAAGCCACACAAGUUGAUUUCGUCACCAACACCGAAGAUGAGCAAGCAAAUAACAACGAAAAACUUAAAACAGCCCUGGCCAUAUUGUUUCCUCGUUCAUCCUCAGCUAACCUUCAACAUUUAAAGUCGUUGUAUGUCACGGCCCACAUUGAAGGUUACCCAAUCUCCAAAAUUUUCGUCGAUUGGGGGCGACGGUCAAUAUCAUGCCCGUAUCCGUCAUGAAAGCAUUACGAUGAUCCAACGACGAACUCAUCCCAUCAGGGAUAACCAUGAGCAACUUUGUCGAUGAUAAGUCUCCAAUCAAAGGAGUGCUCUCUUUAGAGGUAAACAUUGCAGGUUGCAAUCACAUGACCGCAUUUUUUAUUGUCGACUCUAAGACCGAAUAUAAUGCUUUGCUCAGUUAGGAUUGGAUCCAUCAAACAAAUUGCAUUCCCUCUUCCUUCUACCAAGUUCUGAAUUUUUGGGAUGGCAAAUAGGUUGUAGUCCACCCAGCCGAUAAUCAGCCAUUCGAAACCAACAUGAUUCAGGCCCACUAUUAUAACGAUCACGCCGGCUACAUUACCUUACAGGGUUUUAAUGAGGAUGGACGGCCGAUUCGAAUCUCAGUCCAGAAAGCCAUCGAAGUAGUGAUAGGAGCAUAUUUAUGCGCCUUAGUUUAGCUUGUUCUUGUGCAUUUAUAGUGUUUUUCCUUAGUAAAGUAGUCUUUUAAGCUAGUUUCUUGUGUUCUCAGGUUUUAAAGGCAUAUUACAUAAAAAGGAGCAAUUUGGAGCCUUUUGGAGCAAAAUGGAGCUUGGAUUGGAUAUCACAUAUUUGGAGCCAAGGGUUUGGACGAAAAUGAAGAUUUGAAAAUGAUGAUUCCUACUUGAGCAAGGAUUCCUAGUUGAAGUAGGAAAGACCCAAAUUGAAGAUGAAAUCCUAGUCCAAGAAGGUGUCCUAAUCAAUCAAUGAUUCCUAGUUGAAGAUGGAUUCCUAGACGAAUGAAGUUUCCUACUCAAACAAGGUUUCCUACUUGAAGUAGGAAAGUUAAAUCCAAAUGGCAUCAAGUUUCAGCAACAAAGAAGUUUUCCAAGUCCAAGAAGGAAAAGGUUUCCAAGAUGAAAAAGGAGAAGAAUUCCAAGUCAAGGGAGGAUUGAGACAUGUUUUCCUAAUGCGAGAAGGACUCCUAAGUGUUGUAGGACACAAAUGAGAAGUUUCUAGAGAGUUCCCCUCCUUGCCGUGAGUUUCCUACAUUUCCUAUCAGUUUUGGGGCUUUCUAGAAGCCCUAUCCCUAAUCCCUACAUUAAUGCCGCACCCUAGCUUCUAGAUACCCUAGUUUCUUGCCUUGCAAGGCAUUCUAGAAGACCUAUCCAUAUCCUAUAAUUCCUGCCGCACCCUUAUUCCUUUAUCCCUUAGGAUUUCUGAUUUUUAAGCCUAAUUCCUUGUGGAUUUGGGUUAUUCAAGUCCAUAUCUGAUUCCCCUAGGGUUUUAAGUGCCUAUAUAUACUCAUAUCAACCCCUAGAUCAGAUCACCACCUCUCACAUUCAUAAAUCACGCCAGAAAUCUGCCCUAGCCUUUGCCGCAGCCUUCCACCACCAUUCUCCCAAAUUUCUGCCUAAAAACAACCCUAGCCGCACCACCCAUCAACCAUAAAGCCUUCCCUACCAUUCCCCAUCCAUUUUACACCACAAAUAACCCCAAAAAACCUGUCUAAAGAUCUCUGCCGCAGCAAGGAGGAAGGAGGAUUCUUGGAUGCACUUGCUGCCACGUUGGAGCAUUCUAGGUGUUUUCUUUCCUUUGAUUUUAAUGUCUAAAUUUAUGUAUCUUUGCUUUGCGAGUAUGAGGAACUAAACCCCCCCUUGGCUAGGGGGGGAUACUAAACCCCCCUUGGCUAGGGGGGAUUCGAAAUACAUGUUUAUGCUUGCGAUAUGAUUUGAUUACUUCUAAUUGCGUUUCAUAAGUUGUGAAUUCAAUUUACUUAUCUAUGUGAAUUACAUUGAUUUAUGUGUGUUAGUUGAGAGUGCACGCUUAAUUAUCAUGCAUAAAUUGAAUGCUAGGAUAUAAGCAAAUUUCACCUAAUCGUUAUGGACUUAUAUUCACAAGUAGUAAAGGUUGAUGAUCUCAAUCGCGUUAAGUAAAUUCUUGGCAUAAGUUUCAUGCAAUCAUAGUAACAAGUGCUUCGUCAAUGCUUAUGGUUUUCAUAGAACUUAAUGAUUCUUGCUUGUAUCUCUAUUAUGCAAUCAUGUAGGGGACUUGUGGGGAAUGCUUUGGGUUGUCGUAUGUAAUCAUCCAAUUCAAUAACGUUAGGAAAAUCUGAAGGUUAAUUUAAGCGGACCUAAUUAACUUGGGGCGUUGAGAAUUCAUGGGUUAUUGAAAAGCAAUUGGAAAUCGUUUUGAAUGCAAGUAUAACAUGUGUGGAGAUGAACCCCUUAGCUAGCCUUCCAUCCAUUCAUUUAAACCAAAUUCGUUUUAAAAUCUGUUCGUUUUACAAAGUUUUGUUUUGUUUUCAAAUUCGUCCAAAAUCAAUCAGCCUUUUCUUUGUUGAGUCAUAUUAGUUAGAAGUCAAGUUAGUUUGUGUUUUUAAGUGUUUUGAGUCAAGUUAAAACCUAAUUUCGUCCAAGUUUGUGUCUAGUGUUCAAAACUGCCCAGAUUGUGUUUUUAAGGUAGUUUUGAGUGUUUUGGUGCUGUUUUGAGUCUUUUGGUUUGUUUUGGUAUUUUAAAGUUUAGCUUUGCAUUCUUUGAGUCUAGUUUAGUGUUUCAAACUUGUUUUUACGUAAUUGAGUCAGUUUUCAAGUGAUUUUGCAAUCCCUCAUAAUCCCCGGCCUAGAACGAUCCCUACUUACAUACUUACUACAAUUGAUAAAAAGAGGGUUAAUUUGAGUCCUAGUUAAUAUCAUAUCAAAUUUUGGCGCCGUUGCCGGGGAUUAGCAACUUUGAUAAUCCCUUGGAUUGUUAUUUUCGUUUUUCUUAUUAGAUCAGAUUCUUAUGUUAUUUUGUUUCUUGUUUUAGGUACUUGUUUAUGACUCGGAGUUCUAAUCCGGUUCACGAACAUAUUUUAGACUUUGACGACGAUUUUGAGCGUGAGUUGAGACGAAAGAGGAAGAACCCGGAACCUAGUGAAUCAAGUGCAAGUUUCAAGUCCGUUUCUGAAAUUGAAGAGGAAGUGGAAGACAUGGCAGUGGACAACCGAACGAUCAAGGAGCUUUCCGCUUCGGGAUUGGAUAAUGCCGCACCUCUAUGUAUCCAAUACCCUAGGGCGGCUCCAGACAAAACUGCCGAGUUCGAAUUGAAGUCAAGCUUGUUACAUCACAUUGAUAGGAGCAUAUUUAUGCGACUUAGUUGGCUUGUUCUUAAGCAUUUAUGUUGUUUUUCUUUAGUUAUUUUAGUGUUUAAAGUCAUUUUCGUGCAAUUUCAAGUUUAGAGACGAAGUAUGCAAAGAAGUGCAAAAUGGAGCAUUUUAGAGCAAAAUUGAGCUGGAAUGGAGUGUAUGCUAAUGGAGCACAAGGAAUGGACGAGUUUGAAGGUCAAAGGAGCUUAAGAAAUGAAGAAAUGAAAGUGAAGAACAAAGAAUUCAGAUUUGGAAACCAAAGUUUCUAAAGUUGGAAGUUUCUAUUCUUGGAGGUUUCCAUUUUCGAGAGUUUCUAUUCUUGGCUUUGGGCUUUUAGAUGACCUAAACCCUAAUUCCUUGUGGACCCUAACCCAAGCCGCACCUAGGCCUCUAGAAUAUCUGAUUUCCUUGCCUUGCAAGGCAUUCUAGAAGGCCCAUCUCUAAACCCUAACCCUAGCCGCACCUUAGGCCUUAUUCCCACUAAAAAUCUGAUUGUUUUAACCUAAUUUCUGGUGGAUUUGGGCUUCUAGAAACCCUAAUCUGAUUACCCUAGGGUUUUGGAUGCCUAUAUAUACUCAUUAUAACCCCUAGAUCAGAUCAUCAUCUCCCAUACACAAUCAUUCACGCCAGAAAUCUGCCCUUGAUUUCUGCCGCACCUUUCCAUCACCAAAGUCCCAAAAUUCUGCCCAAAAUCAUCCCUAGCCGUACCCCCAUCAACCCUAAACCUUUCCAUACCAUUCCCCAUCCAUUCUACAUCACAAAUAACCCCAAAAACCUGUUCUAAAGUUCUCUGCCGCAGCAAGGAGGAAGGAGAAUUCGUUGAUGAGCUUGCUGCCAAGUUGGAGCGUUCUAGGUGUUUUCUUUCUUUGAAUUUUAAUUUCUAAAUUUAUGUAUCUUUGCUUUGCGAGUAUGAGGAACUAAACCCCCCCUUGGCUAGGGGGGGAUUCGAAAUACAUGUUUAUGCUUGCGAUAUGAUUUGAUUACUUCUAAUUGCGUUUCAUAAGUUGUGAAUUCAAUUUACUUAUCUAUGUGAAUUACAUUGAUUUGUGUGUGUUGGUUGAGAGUGCACGCUUAAUUAUCAUGCAUAAAUUGAAUGCUAGGAUAUAAGGAAAUUUCACCUAAUCGUUAUGGACUUAUAUUCACAAGUAGUAAAGGUUGAUGAUCUCAAUCGCGUUAAGUAAAUUCUUGGCAUAAGUUUCAUGCAAUCAUAGUAACAAGUGCUUCGUCAAUGCUUAUGGUUUUCAUAGAACUUAAUGAUUCUUGCUUGUAUCUCUAUUAUGCAAUCAUGUAGGGGACUUGUGGGGAAUGCUUUGGGUUGUCGUAUGCAAUCAUCCAAUUCAAUAACGUUAGGAAAAUCUGAAGGUUAAUUUAAGCGGACCUAAUUAACUUGGGGUGUUGAGAAUUCAUGGUUUAUUGAAAAGCAAUUGGAAAUCGUUUUAUAUGCAAGUGUAACAUGUGUGGAGAUGAACCCCUUAGCUAGCCUUCCAUUCACCCAUUUAAAUCAAAUUCGUUUUUACAAUCUGUUCGUUUUACAAAGUUUUGUUUUGUUUUCAAUUUCGUCCAAAAUCAAUCCCCCUUUUCUUUGUUUAGUCAUAUUAGUUAGAAGUCAAGUUAGUUUGUGUUUUUACGUAUUUGAGUCAGUUUUCAAGUGAUUUUGCAAUCCCUCCUAAUCCCCGGCCUAGAACGAUCCCUACUUACAUACUUACUACAAUUGAUAAAAAGAGGGUUAAUUUAAAUGCUAGUUAAUUUUCACAUCACACAUUCCAAAGUACCAUGGGCUGUCCAUGGAAGAUCCGAACAAGCACUUGAAGGAGUUUGAAGUCGUUUGCUCAAGCAUGACUCCGGUGAACGUGGAUGAGAGCAUCUUGAAGAUGGAGGCCUUUCCCUUUUCUCUCCUAGAGAAGGCGAAAGAUUGGUUGUACGAAUUGGCUCCCGGAACUGUCACAUCAUGGGAGAGCAUGAAACGAGCUUUCUUAGAGAAGUUUUUCCCAACUUCUCGAGUCAUCCUCCUACGCAAAAGGAUAAGUGGCAUUCAACAAGAUGGAGGUGAAUCCUUUCCUACUUAUUAUGAACGUUUUAAAUCUCUUGUUGCUUCAUGUCCACAGCAUCAAAUGAAGGAGGAACUACUUCUACAAUACUUCUACGAGGGACUUCUACCAAUUGAACGUCAAAUGCUAGAUGCCUCAGCGGGAGGAGCAUUGGUGGACAAGACCCCUACGGCUGCAAAGAUGUUGAUUGCUAAUCGAGCGUUGAACGCUCAACAAUACGAAGGUGUUGGACAAAGGAGCAUGCCACGGCAACAUCAAGUCAAUGAGGUAAGUGCCAUAACUGAACUUCAAAAUCAAAUGGCUAACCUUACUACGUUGCUUUCUCAGGUGAUGGAAGGUCCAAAAGUCAAAACCGUAGCUUCUUGUGGCGUAUGCUCCAUGCAAAACCACCAUACGGACAAGUGCCCACAAUUGAUCGAGAAUGGAGGGUGGGAGACCUUCAAUGUCGUGGGUUUGGGCAGCAAUACCAACAAAGGAGUGAUCCCUUUUCUAAUACCUACAAUCCCGGUUGGCGUGAUCAUCCAAAUUUCAAAUGGCGAGAACCCCAACAAGGCCAACAACAAAGCGGAUUUAGGCAACAACCCCUGGGUUUCUAUCAAAAGCAGUUUGCACCUACACAACCUCAAGCACAACCUACCCAAACCAAUUCAGGUUCAUCCAUUGAUAAUGAUCAGAUUUUUCAAUUACUAACUUCUAUGGCGCAGGGUAUGCAAAAUAGAGACAAAAGGAUGGAUGAGUUGGAGAAGCAAGUAGGGCAGAUUGCGGAGUUCAUGGGCCAAUUUUGAGAGCAAGGUAAGUUGCCAAGUUCAACUGUUGUCAAUCCGAGGGGAGGAGUCAAAACUGCCAAGGCUAUCACACUAAGAAGUGGGAAAGAAGUAGGAACCGAGCCAAAACCAUCCAAAUCUGCCCUCAAGGAGACGAGAAGUUGCAAAUAGAAGAGGAGGAGCAAGCAAAGGCCACGGCAAGGAUUGAGCAAUCCUUGCCGCAACCACCCAAGCCAUCCAAUUCGGCCAAUAAAGGUAAGGCAGGUACAAUUCAAGUUAAUUCUAAUGUUAUUCCUCCGGAUGUACGCUUUCCUAGCAGAUUUUUGCAAGCCAAGAACGAAGAAGAGGAACAAGACGUUCUUGAGACGUUUAUAAAGGUGCAUGUCAAUAUCCCUCUCCUCGAUGCUAUAAAGCAAAUCCCGAAGUAUGCCAAGUUUUUGAAGAAGCUUUGUACAACAAGGAAACGGAUUCGGGAGAAAGAGGUGGUACACGUAAGUGAGAAUGUAUCUGCAUUGUUGCAAAGAAAGUUACCACCUAAAUGUAAAGAUCCAGGUAGUUUCACGAUCCCUUGUGUUAUUGGCAAUACGAGGUUUGAUCAUGCUAUGUGAGAUUUAGGUGCAUCUAUAAAUGUCAUGCCAUAUUCUGUUUAUGCAUCUAUGAAUCUAGGGAAGCUUAAAAAUGAUGGUGUUAUUAUUCAAUUAGCCGAUCGAUCUAAUGCAUAUCCCAAAGGAGUGUUGGAAGAUGUGUUGGUGCAGGUAGACCACUUGAUUUUUCCUGCAGAUUUCUAUGUGCUUGAUAUGGAGGACUCAACCCACUCUCCACCAUCACCACUCUUACUUGGACGACCAUUCAUGAAAACGGCUCAAACCAAGAUUGACGUGGCCAAGGGAGCAGUAACUAUGGCCUUUGGUGGUGAUAUGAUUAACUUUAAUAUUUCUGAAUCGGUUGAGAAUACUAAUGAUGUUCGUUCUUGUUGUGCUAUUAACGUAAUUGAAAAUAUAGGGCAGGAAUGUUCAACACUAGUCAAGAAGAAUGUACCACAACCCACCAUCGAGGAAGGAAUUGGAGUGAACAACAAAGAGUGCACGGCCCUAACCUUGAAAUCACCAAAUCUGGCCGAGUGCACCCCUUGUGCAUCUGUCCAUAGUGCUACCACUUCUUUACCGUACAAAGGUAAGCCACCUAUUCCAAUUUCGAUUCCCAUUUCAACUAAUAGGUUGCUACCUUGUAUGGUACAGGUACCUAAUCGAAGUCAACGUGGUGGGAGAGUUUGUGUUGAUUUAGAGAAGCAAAACACGACAAUCAGAAAGGAUCAUUAUCCCAUCCCAUUCAAGGACCCAAAGAAUGAAGUAUUUCGUAGGACAGGUAGUGGAAAAACCCCUCCAUGCCGUGGGGUACCAUAAACCUUCAAUGGAGCAUCGUCCGGCUGCAACACGUUAAAGAAAGCGCUACUUGGGAGGCAACCCAUGCAUUCGACAAAGGAAGACCUAGAGAGCACUCCAAUUCCAGAUUUGCGUUCCUAAACCCUUCUCUUUGUUGUUAUUUCGUUUCUGCCAUGUUAGAUUGUUUAGUUGCUGUUUUCUUUGUUUGUUGGUUAUUAGUGUUAGUUUAUGCUUGAAACAUUGAGGACAAUGUUUGAUUUAAGUGUGGGGGGGUAACCAAAGUGUUUUGAUACAAAUUCGUAGGGUUUUAUCACCCAUAAUUUCAAAUGUUGUUCCUUACUAUUUUUAGGUGUUUUUAGACUGUUUUGGUGUGUUUUAGUGUAUUUUGACAUAAAAAUUCGAAAAUCCCAUAAAAAUUUGAAAAAAAUGUUUUGAAAAACCCAAAAAGAGUCAUUUUAAAGUUGUUUGUGUGUUUGUUUGUGUCUUAGGGUACAUUCCAACACAAUGAUGAGGAUUCGGUUUUUAAUUGCAUGACUGUUUGAUAGAAACCCGGAGGUUGUUGCCUAAAUGUGCUUUGUUGUUGGCCUUGUUGAGGGUCUCGCCAUUUGAAAUUCGGAUGAUCACGCCAACCGGGAUUGUAAGUAUUAGAAAAAGGGUCAUUCCUCGGUUGGUAUUGGUUGCCAAAACCCACGGCAUUGAGGGUCUCCCACCCUCCAUUCUCAAUCAAUUGUGGGCACUUGUCCGUAGGGUGUCCUUGCAUGGAACAUACGCCACACGCACUUACAUUUUGAACUUUUGGCCCUUCCACAACCUGAGAAAGCAAAGUAGUAAGGUUAGCCAUUUGAUUUUGAAGUUCGGUUAUGGCACUUACCUCAUUCACUUGGUGUUGCCGUGUGGUGCCUCUUUGUCCAACACCUUCGUAUUGUUGAGCGUUCAACGCUCGAUUGGCAAUCAAAGUCUUUGCUGCCAUGGGGGUCUUGUCCACCAACGCUCCUCCUGCCGAGGCAUCUAGCAUUUGUCGUUCGAUUGGUAGAAGUCCCUCGUAGAAGUAUUGCAGAAGAAGCUCCUCUUUCAUUUGAUGCUGUGGACAAGAAGCAACAAGAGAUUUAAAACGUUCAUAGUAUGUAGGAAAAGACUCACCUUCUUCUUGUUGAAUUCCACUUAUCCUUUUUCGUAGGAGAAUAACUCGAGAAGUUGGAAAAAACUUCUCCAAGAAAGCUCGUUUCAUGCUCUCCCAUGAUGUGACAGUUCCGGGAGCCAAUUCGUACAACCAAUCUUUCGCCUUCUCUAGGAGAGAAAAGGGAAAGGCCUUCAUCUUCAAGAUGCUUUCAUCCACGUUCACCGGAGUCAUGCUUGAGCAAACGACUUUAAAUUCCUUCAAGUGCUUGUUCGGAUCUUCCAUGGACAGCCCAUGGUACUUCGGAAUGUGAUGUAACAAGCUUGACUUCAAUUCGAACUCGGCAGUUUUGUCCGGAGCCGCCCUAGGGUAUUGGAUACAUAGAGGUGCGGCAUUGUCCAAUCCCGAAGCGGAAAGCUCCUUGAUCGUUCAGUUGUCCACUGCCAUGUCUUCCACUUCCUCUUCAAAUUCAGAAACGAACUCGGAACUUGCACUUGAUUCACUAGGUUCCGGGUUCUUCCUCUUUCGUCUCAACUCACGCUCAAAAUCAUCGUCAAAGUCUAAAAUAUGUUCGUGAACCGGAUUAGAACUCCGAGUCAUAAACAAGUACCCAAAACAAGAAACAAAAUAACAAAAGAAUCUGAUCUAAUAAGAAAAACGAAAAUAACAAUCCAAGGGAUUAGCAAAGUUGCUAAUCCCCGGCAACGGAGCCAAAAUUUGAUGUGAAAAUUAUGUUGACACACAAAUUAACCCUCUUUUUAUCAAUUGUAGCAAUGUAUGUAAGUAGGGAUCGUUCUAGACCGGGGAUUAGGAGGGAUUGCAAAAUCACUUGGACAUGACUCAAAAACGUAAAAACAAGUUUUAAACACUAAAAUAGACUCAAAGAAUGCAAAACUAAACUUUAAAACACCAAAACAAACCAAAAGACUCAAAACAGCACCAAAACACUCAAAACUGCCUUAAAAAACACAAUCUGGGCAGUUUUGGACACUAAGCACCAAAUUGGACGAAAUUGGGUUUUAACUUGAAUCAAAACACUUAAAAACACAAAGUAAAACACUUACUAACUAAUUUGACACUUUAAAACAAAGGGGGAUUGGUUUUGGCCGAAUUUAAAAACAAAACAAACUUUGUAAAUUAGAACAGAUUGUAAAAACGAAUUUGAUUUAAAUGGGUGAAUGGAAGGCUAGCUAAGGGGUUCAUCUCCACACAUGUUAUACUUGCAUACGAAACGAUUUCCAAUUGCUUUUCAACAAACCAUGAAUUCUCAAUGCCCCAAGUUAAUUAGGUCCGCUUAAAUUAACCUUCAGAUUUUCCUAACGUUAUUGAAUUGGAUGAUUGCAUACGACAACCCAAAACAUUCCCCACAAGUCCCCUACAUGAUUGCAUAAUAGAGAUACAAGCAAGAAUCAUUAAGUUCUAUGAAAACCAUAAGCAUUGACGAAGCACUUGUUACUAUGAUUGCAUGAAACUUAUGCCAAGAAUUUACUUAACGCGAUUGAGAUCAUCAACCUUUACUACCUGUGAAUAUAAUUCCAUAACGAUUAGGUGAAAUUUCCUUAUAUCCUAGCAUUCAAUUUAUGCAUGAUAAUUAAGCGUGCACUCUCAACCAACACACACAAAUCAAUGUAAUCCACAUAGAUAAGUAAAUUGAAUUCACAACUUAUGAAACGCAAUUAGAAGUAAUCAAAUCAUAACGCAAACAUAAACAUGUAUUUCGAAUCCCCCCCUAGCCAAGGGGGGGUUUAGUUCCUCAUACGCACAAAACAAAGAGAAUUGAAUUUAAACAUUGAAAUCAAAGGAAAAGAAACACCUAGAAAUUCCAGCGACACGAACUUGAAUUGCAUGAACUUCCGAGCUUCCUUCUCCUCCUCCUUGGUGCGGCAAAGGACUUUGGACAGGUUCUUUGGGGUUAUGGAUGGUGUAGAAGGGUUAUGGAUGGAUGUAGUAGUGUUUAGGGGAAGGGAAUGGUGCGGCAAAGGUGUGGAGAGAGUUUGGACGAAUUUCUGGAGUGAUUUAUGAAUUGUGGUGAGUGGUCAUCUGAUUUAGGGGUUAAUAGGAGUAUAUAUAGGCACUUAAAACCCUAGGGUAAUCAGAUAUGGACUUGGAUAACCCAAAUCCACAAGGAAAUAGGUCUAAACAAUCAGAUUUUGCAAGGGAAAAGGGGUCCUAGGUGCGGCAGGGAUAGGAUAAGGUGAUAAGGUUUCUAGAAUGCCUUGCAAGGCAAGGAACUAGGCAUCUAGAAGCUAGGGUGCGGCACCAAUGUAGGGAUUUAAGGAUAGGGCUUCUAGAAAGCCCCAAAACUGAUAGGAAUUGCAUGAAACCCACGGCAAGGAUGUAAACUUUCUAGAAACUUCUCAUUUGUGUCCUACAACACUUUGGAGUCCUUCUAGCAUUAGGAAAACAUGUCUCAAUCCUCCCUUGACUUGGAAUUCUUCUCCUUCUUCAUCUUGGAUUCCUUUUCCUUCUUGGACUUGGAAAACUUCUUUGUUGCUGAAACUUGAUGCCAUUUGGAUUUAACUUUCCUACUUCAAGUAGGAAACCUUGUUUGAGUAGGAAUCUUCAUCUUCAAGGAAUCCUAAUUCAACUAGGAAACCCAUCUUGACUAGGAAUCCUAAUUCAACUAGGAUUCCAUCUUCACUUAGGCGCUUUCCUACUUCGACUAGGAAACCUUGUUCAAGUAGGAAACAUCAUCUUCAAAUCUUCAAUUUCGUCCAUCCUCUUGGCUCCAAGCAUAUGACAUUCAUUCCAAGCUCAACUUUGCUCCAAAAGGCUCCAAAAUGCAUCCUUUUGCAUACUUUGCCCUUAGAACCUGAAAACACAUAAAACUAGCUUAAAAGACUUCUUUACUAAGCAAAAACACUAUAAAUGUACAAGAACAAGCUAAACUAAGGCGCAUAAAUAUGCUCCUAUCACUGUUAAAGAGAGUUGUAAACAUGGAUGAAGUUUGAUUUACUCUUUGGUUUAUGCUUGGUUGUGGUUAUAACUUAUGAAUUCACAUGUAAUCAUAAAGAAAAAAAUUAGUUUUUGUAACAUGCUUGAAGGAAGGAACUCAAACAAACGCUACAACCUUGUGAGACUUGAGCCUAAAUGUUUAUUUGGAGAGUUAAAAUCUGUGCAUUCUUUUUUUUCUAAAGUCGUUGCAUGAUCUCAUUAUUCUUUGUUUGGUUACUACUUAGAAGGCGUUUCAUCAUUUAGUUCCAAACACUAGAACUCAUGCCAAUGUCAUUCAAAACAUGUUAUUGAAUUGCAUAACACAUAUUCAAGAUGAAGUUGUUUAGUAGUUACCACCAUAGCCAAAAAGCCUUCAUUCCAUGCAUUUGUUUUUGUAGGUUUAACCCCGUUGAGCCUUGUUUAGCCUAUGUUGUUUGUUAACCCACAUUAUCCUUACCUAGCCUAGAUUAGGACCAUCCAUACUUUGUUCUUGAAGCAUAGUAAUGAAUGACUCAAAAUGAAUUCCUUUUGGUCAUUAUUGGCAGAAAACAAGUGUGGGGGAAGUGAGUUUUGUUGUGGGUGUGCCAAAGUCUUGAAUGAGGCAUGAAAAAGAAAGAAAAAAUAAAAUGAAAUUCGUGGAAAAAAAAGAAAAGAAAAAAAAAAAAAAUGUGAAAAGUAUGAAAAAGGAGUUGAAAAGAUGUGAAAAAGAGUUCUAAAGUGUUGAUUGUUGAAGAAAGGGUCCAAAAAGUUGAAUUCGGCCCUAAUUGUUGUUGAAUCUUCCCUUUGUGUUUAAAAGUUAAUUUCUGCAUGCUAAUGGGAAUUCUGAGUACGAUUUCAUUGUUUUGCUUACUAUUGCUUUAAGAACGUUUGUUUUCCCUAUUCUUUCGUUGUUAGCCAACUCCCCUAGCCCCGUUACAACCCUUGACUUUAAAUCUUGAGUGUUGUGUGUUUCAAUUUGUGGAGUUUGAGUUUGGUAUGUGCAUAUGGUGUCACUGGUUCUGGCAUCUAAGUAGUAGCAAUCCAUUCAUGAGAUCAUAUCUAAACAUGUCAUUUACUCCGGAAAAUGCUUUUCUUGUUAUACAUAUAUGUGAGCAUUCGUUUUCAUAUUUACAUCAAUCUUCUCACAUAUAACUAGUAUAGGGUGUGUAGUUAGAAAAUCUGAGUGAAAAUUGAGUGCAUAUCUUGUAAGGAAUUGAGUGAUUUCUCUAAGGCAUGUUACUACAUUCAAAACAUUGUUUAAAUUGGUUAAUUGUGAACUAGUAAGUGGUGACUAUGAUUAAGUAUGUGCUUAAGUAAAGAUGACUCAAAUCUGUGGGAAUGAUGAUUUUUAACAUGUCAUGUGCAUUGGAAAUCCCUGAGGCGAUUGUUGGAAGGUUUAGGUUGUGUUUUACUCGUUUUGCUUCGUUUGUUUACUUUGUUUCGUUUUGUUUUGCUCGAGGACUAGCAAAAGCUAAGUGUGGGGGAAUUUGAUAGGAGCAUAUUUAUGCGCCUUAGUUUAGCUUGUUCUUGUGCAUUUAUAGUGUUUUUCCUUAGUAAAGUAGUCUUUUAAGCUAGUUUCUUGUGUUCUCAGGUUUUAAAGGCAUAUUACAUAAAAAGGAGCAAUUUGGAGCCUUUUGGAGCAAAAUGGAGCUUGGAUUGGAUAUCACAUAUUUGGAGCCAAGGGUUUGGACGAAAAUGAAGAUUUGAAAAUGAUGAUUCCUACUUGAGCAAGGAUUCCUAGUUGAAGUAGGAAAGACCCAAAUUGAAGAUGAAAUCCUAGUCCAAGAAGGUGUCCUAAUCAAUCAAGGAUUCCUAGUUGAAGAUGGAUUCCUAGACGAAUGAAGUUUCCUACUCAAACAAGGUUUCCUACUUGAAGUAGGAAAGUUAAAUCCAAAUGGCAUCAAGUUUCAGCAACAAAGAAGUUUUCCAAGUCCAAGAAGGAAAAGGUUUCCAAGAUGAAGAAGGAGAAGAAUUCCAAGUCAAGGGAGGAUUGAGACAUGUUUUCCUAAUGCGAGAAGGACUCCUAAGUGUUGUAGGACACAAAUGAGAAGUUUCUAGAGAGUUCCCCUCCUUGCCGUGAGUUUCCUACAUUUCCUAUCAGUUUUGGGGCUUUCUAGAAGCCCUAUCCCUAAUCCCUACAUUAAUGCCGCACCCUAGCUUCUAGAUACCCUAGUUUCUUGCCUUGCAAGGCAUUCUAGAAGACCUAUCCAUAUCCUAUAAUUCCUGCCGCACCCUUAUUCCCUUAUCCCUUAGGAUUUCUGAUUUUUAAGCCUAAUUCCUUGUGGAUUUGGGUUAUUCAAGUCCAUAUCUGAUUCCCCUAGGGUUUUAAGUGCCUAUAUAUACUCAUAUCAACCCCUAGAUCAAAUCACCACCUCUCACAUUCAUAAAUCACGCCAGAAAUCUGCCCUAGCCUUUGCCGCAGCCUUCCACCACCAUUCUCCCAAAUUUCUGCCUAAAAACAACCCUAGCCGCACCACCCAUCAACCCUAAAGCCUUCCCUACCAUUCCCCAUCCAUUCUACACCACAAAUAACCCUAAAAAACCUGUCUAAAGAUCUUUGCCGCAGCAAGGAGGAAGGAGGAUUCUUGGAUGCACUUGCUGCCACGUUGGAGCAUUCUAGGUGUUUUCUUUCCUUUGAUUUUAAUGUCUAAAUUUAUGUAUCUUUGCUUUGCGAGUAUGAGGAACUAAACCCCCCUUGGCUAGGGGGGAUUCGAAAUACAUGUUUAUGCUUGCGAUAUGAUUUGAUUACUUCUAAUUGCGUUUCAUAAGUUGUGAAUUCAAUUUACUUAUCUAUGUGAAUUACAUUGAUUUGUGUGUGUUAGUUGAGAGUGCACGCUUAAUUAUCAUGCAUAAAUUGAAUGCUAGGAUAUAAGGAAAUUUCACCUAAUCGUUAUGGACUUAUAUUCACAGGUAGUAAAGGUUGAUGAUGUCAAUCGCGUUAAGUAAAUUCUUGGCAUAAGUUUCAUGCAAUCAUAGUAACAAGUGCUUCGUCAAUGCUUAUGGUUUUCAUAGAACUUAAUGAUUCUUGCUUGUAUCUCUAUUAUGCAAUCAUGUAGGGGACUUGUGGGGAAUGCUUUGGGUUGUCGUAUGCAAUCAUCCAAUUCAAUAACGUUAGGAAAAUCUGAAGGUUAAUUUAAGCGGACCUAAUUAACUUGGGGCGUUGAGAAUUUAUGGGUUAUUGAAAAGCAAUUGGAAAUCGUUUUGAAUGCAAGUAUAACAUGUGUGGAGAUGAACCCCUUAGCUAGCCUUCUAUCCAUUCAUUUAAACCAAAUUCGUUUUAAAAUCUGUUCGUUUUACAAAGUUUUGUUUUGUUUUCAAAUUCGUCCAAAAUCAAUCCCCCUUUUCUUUGUUGAGUCAUAUUAGUUAGAAGUCAAGUUAGUUUGUGUUUUUAAGUGUUUUAAGUCAAGUCAAAACCUAAUUUCAUCCAAGUUUGUGUCUAGUGUUCAAAACUGCCCAGAUUGUGUUUUUAAGGCAGUUUUGAGUGUUUUGGUGCUGUUUUGAGUCUUUUGGUUUGUUUUGGUAUUUUAAAGUUUAGCUUUGCAUUCUUUGAGUCUAGUUUAGUGUUUCAAACUUGUUUUUACGUAAUUGAGUCAGUUUUCAAGUGAUUUUGCAAUCCCUCCUAAUCCCCGGCCUAGAACGAUCCCUACUUAUGUACUUACUACAAUUGAUAAAAAGAGGGUUAAUUUGAGUGCUAGUUAAUAUCAUAUCAAGUAGGUGCCGAGAUUGUACAUCAGGAUUCGACAUGACUCGGCAUGGCCGAAUUAAUUACCUACAUUGAUGACUGACGCCACAAGAGAAAGGCAUCGGGUCGUGGUUUCAUCCACAAUGGAACGUCUGCUGGCUCAUUGGUAUGCUAUUUCUAAGCAUCCACGAUCGGGCAUCAACUUAAUCGAAUUUUUGGCUGAGGAAGAUAACGGCCCUAUAUUAUCAUUAGAUAAAGUUCAGGCCGCACCGGCCGAACUCGAAGAUAGUCGACCCCAAGUUAAGGACCCCUUAGAAGAAAUAAAUGUUGUAACGACCGAUGCCCCUCGACCGUUAUUUAUUAAUGCAUUGUUACCCCAUUCUAUGAAAGUCGAACUCUAUCUUUAAAGAUUGUUUUGCUUGGAGUUAUCAUGAGAUGCCGAGCCUUGAUCGAACCCUUGUUGAACAUGAAGUACGCAUCAAAGCUAGUUGUAAGCCUUUCUGCCAGUCCUCUUGUCGAUUCUCGAUCGAAGUACAACUCGGCAUAAAAGACGAACUAGUUCGACUUUUAAAAGCCAGGUUUAUUCAGACUGCUUGAUAUGUCGAGGGCUGGCUAAUAUCGUCCCAGUGCUAAAGAAAAAUGGCACCAUACGCAUCUGUAUUGAUUUUCGUAAUCGGAACUUGGCAACACCUAAAGAUGAAUACCCGAUGCCUAUCUCCGACUUGUUAAUUGACGCCGUAGCACAUCACGAGAUCUUAUCCUUUAUGGAUGGGCAUGCUGGUUAUAACUAGAUUUUCAUCGUCGAAGCUGAUGUCCAUAAGAUCAUUUUUUGUUGCCCCGGGGUGGCACAUACGAAUGGGUCGUCAUGCCCUUUGGCCCCAAGAACGCCGAUGCCACGUACCAACGAACUAUGAACACUAUUUUCCAUGAUUUAAUUGGUACCAUCGUUGAUGUAUACAUCGACGAAGUGGUCAUCAAAUCAGCACGCCGGCAGACGCAUUUGGAUGACCUCCGUCAAGCAUUCCUGCGCAUGUGCUGGCACAAUCCUAAGAUAAACCCCGCCAAAUGUGCUUUCAGCGUAUUAGCUGGAAAUUUUUUAGGCUUCCUUGUACAUCAUCAUGGUAUUGAGGUGGAUGACAAUAAGGCUCGCACAAUCAUUAAUGCUCCACCCCCGACGACUAAGAACCAAUUACAAUCGUUGCUCAGCAAGAUCAACUUUCUCCGACGAUUUAUUGCUAAUUCGGCCGGGAAAAUGAAAGCCUUCUCCACGCUUUUAAAACUUAAGGACUUCGACACCUUCGAAUGACGUGCUGAGCACUAAGAGGCAUUUACGCAGAUCAUGGUCUCUUUAACGACUCCACCCAUCCUUGUCCACCACAAUAGGGCUGACCUUUUAAGCUAUAUAUCUCGGCGGUCGAAGAAUCCAUCGGAUACCUUCUUGCACAAGACAAUGACGUUGGGCGAGAACAGGCCAUUUUUUACCUUAGUCGAAACCUCAACCCACCAGAGAUUAAUUACUCCGCUGUCGAGAAGCUUUAUCUCGCCCUAUUUUUCAUCGCGUUAAAACUCAGACAUUACAUGCUCCCGUUAGUCACUCAGGUCAUCACCUAAACUGAUGUCAUUCGUUACAUGCUCACUCGGCCGAUCGUAAAGGGCUGAAUCGACAAGUGGACGAUUGCCCUUUCUGAGUUCAGCUUGCAAUAUGUGCCCCAGAAAGCUAUCAAAGGUCAAGCUCUGGCCGAUUUUCUGGCCCAACACCCUUCCCCGUAUGAGUUCAGGGGCAAUGACGUUGACAUCGGCCUGGUACAAACACGUGAUAAUUACUGGACGAUGUAUGAUAGGAGCAUAUUUAUGCGACUUAGUUAGCUUGUUUUCUUGCAUUUUCAUAGCUAGUUUCUACUUAUUAUAGUGUUUUAAGCUAUUUUCAUGUGUUUGUAGGUCCAAAUGACAAAGUUGGCAAGAAUGUGCAUUUUAGAGCAUUUUAGAGCAGUUUUGGGCAAAGAAUGGAUAAGACAUGCAUGGAGCAAGGUGGAUGGACGUUUUUGAAGUUCAAGAGGCUAGGAAUAUGCUAAGGAGUUGAAGAAGAUAAAUCCAAGACAAAGAAGAUAAGGAAUCAGCUCAAAAGAAGGAAACAUUAUCCAAAACCUUAUCCAACCUUAUCUUAUCUAGUCUUAUCUUCUCUUAUCCCAUAUGAUCCAAACAUUAUCCUAUUUAAUCCAACAUUAUCUAAACUUAUCUCCAGCUGCAAAAGGAAUCCUUAUCCUAUUCUAAAUCCUUCCCAUCUGAAUUUAGGAGUCCCAAUCUAUCUAAACACAUUAAUUCUUUUCCCCCUAGGAAUCUGCUAUGCAAAUCCUUCUCCUCUACAACCUUUGUGCCGUACCUUAGGCCUAUAAAUACAUAUUUAUCACCACAAUUUCAUGGACCACACAUACAAGAGCCAAAACAUCAUAAAAUACAUACUUGUGCGCAUAUUUGCAAGGAAGGAAAGAGAGGAGACCCUUGGAGUCGAAUCUGCCAUUGCUGGAGCGUUUCUAGGUGUAUUUUAUCCUUAGAUUUGUUUGAAUGUUGGUUUUAAUUUGGUUUUAUGUUUUUAAAGACAUGAGGAACUAAUCUCUUUUUAGUUAGGGCUGAAUUUGAAGCCAUGAUUAUAUGUUUUAUAUGAAUUGAUUACAUCCAGUUUUGUGUUUUUGUGUCUAGUUGAGUGUUUUUAAGUCUAGUUUGGUAUUUUUUAGUCAUAUUUGUGUAGAUUAGCAGCCUUAGCUAAUCCCCGAUCUAGAAUGAUCCCUACUUACAUCUUUGCUACAAUUGUCAACAAUAGGAUUUAAUUUGUGUGUCAAGUUAAUUUUCACAUCAAUGUACUUUGAUGGUUCUAGUACUUCAGUCUCGGCUGGCGUUGGGAUCGUUAUUCAAUCCCCCAUUACUAAUUGUUGGUAUUUUUCUCUCAAGCUCGAUUUCGAUUGUACGAAUAAUCAGGUCGAAUAUGAAACCCUCAUUACCGGCCUCGACGUGCUACACGAUUUUCGGGCAACUCGUGUCCUUGUUCUUGGUGACUCCGAACUUGUCAUUAAUCAACUCAAUGGGACUUUUCAUUGCAUAAGUUGUACUCUGGCGCCUUCCUACAUGGUUGCCAGCUAUUUGGCCGAAUCUUUCAACGACGUUACUUUCAAACACAUUUCACGAGUUCAUAACACUAACGCCGACGAAUUAGCUCAAAUAGCCUUCAGAGCACAACUCAUGGGGGGCAAAUUAAGCCGAGAAAUACCUGUGUCACGACAAGCACAUUCGACCUUGAUUAAUUAGUAAGUUCUCCAGCGUGAUUGCGUGAUCCGUAUACGGGUCAUGUCUUUACCUUCGUUGUUAGAACGGAAGGACACUAUUGAGGUUUGUGUCGUCGAGGCAUUACCAAACGAUUGGAGAAGGACAAUUAUGCGAUAUAUUGAUAACCCCAACGAAAAACACGACCGACGGACAAGGGUUCAUCCCAUAAACUACUAGAAUAAGUUAUAUCGAAAAGGUGAGGAUGGGUUAUUGUUGCUGUGCCUUGGUCCGCAGGAAGCUACUCAAGCAAUGGUAGAAGUACACGAAGGAAUUUACGGAGCCCACCAAUCUGGACGAAAAAUGUGUUGGCUACUUCGGUGGCACGGCUAUUUAUGGCUAAGUAUUUUGAAGGAUUGUAUUGAGUACGCAAAGGGUUGUGUACAGUGUCAAAUCCAUGGGCCUAUACAGAGAGUACCGGCUGAAUCAUUACAUUCGGUCACCAAACCAUGGCCGUUCCGAGGAUGGGCCAUGGAUGUUAUCGGUAAAAUCACACCAUCUUCUGGUGCAGCCAAACAUGCGUGGAUACUCGUUGCAAAGGAUUACUUUACCAAAUAGGUCGAAGCCAAGUCAUAUGCCAAGCUAACGUCUAAGUUCUUGACACUUGCAAGACAUUUCUUGAAAAUGCCCUUUCCAAUGUCCAUCCUUUCAUAAAGAAAGUUUGUUCCCUUGGAGUUAUUUCGCCUUCUUCGUUUGACUUCUCCUUUGACUACAAUAGUCAUGGUCCCUAAACUCCCACUAUCUCUCUUGAAACUUAUUUCAAUUGUGUUAUACACAUCAAACAAUUUGGAGAGCGUGUGGUUAUUGUUCACUAUAUAGUUUACAAUAAACUUAGUGAACCAUUUGGAUAGGGAAACAAAAGUGGAGUCCUUCCCUAGUUUCCAUCUCUUGAAGUGGUUUAACACUUCAACACUCAAUUCAAAAAUCAUCAUAAGUCCAUGUUGAUGGACUAUUUUUGUCAACCAACCAUUAUGUUCUAAACAUAAUUACAGACUUUCAAGAGUUGUUAAAGGCAACUCUCAUUUCUUCAUACAACAAUUUGUAAGUGAAGAAUCAUGGCACAUAACAUGUACAUGCCCUUGUGCUUACUUCUCAAGUUCCUUGUUCAUAUAACAAAGCAACAAGCACUAAUGUUUGCGUUAACUAAGAGUUGUUCAAAGCAACUCUUAUUUCUUCAUACAACAAUUUGUAAUUGAAGAAUUAUGACAUUAAAAGUGUUGUCCUCUUUAUGAUAGACUUAUCUAACAUAUUCUUCCAAUGAUACAUUAUCAAUAGGAAGAUUGUGAGGAUGAGACUACUUAGGUACAUAUACAAGCCAUUAAAGACAAUCUAUGGGAUUGUAGUACCAAGUCCAGAAACUGAAGCUUUUGGCUUUUUCUUUGUCAAGUUUUAGAUAGCGUUUGCAAAUAUAUUGGUAAAUAAAUACAUAACGAAUAUAAAUUGAUUGAUUUUAAUCCAUUUGAUCCGGGUCUUUAAAUCAAAUAGCACCAUCCACUAUUUUUGGCAAAUUCUAUAUUCCUCAUCGGAAUUCGAGAGUUUUAGAGGAAACUCUUAGUAGGGUAUGGGAGACUCAUCAUUACCAACCCCACCUCACAAUGAUAUGAUGUUGGCUAGCAUAAAUAAUAAUGAGAGAGUACGCUUACUCAUUUGCAUCUCUUGCAAGUACCCAUCUUAUUUGGCCUCUAGAGAAUGAAGCCUCACAAUGAUAUGAUGUUGGCUCCAUUGCACUUAGUUAAGUCAUUCCCACCAUGCAAGUUCGAGUAGGGGUUCAAGAACAACCUCACAAUGAUAUGAUGUUGAUCAUUCUCGUUGCCUACCUUCACAACAUCAUGUAUGCAUAUAGAACUCCUCAUGAGUGCAAGCACGCACUUUGUACUCCCCCAAGAUAGGGUGAAGUCGGUGUACGAGUCACAAACGAUCGGAGCCUACCACGGUGGAAGGCCACGAAAGAGUGUUCAAAGCACUCUCACGCUUAUCAACUUAAUAAUGGUUUGGUUGAGGGUUUUAGGUCUCAUCACAUAUAAGCAUGCAUUUUAAUCUUAUUAAAACAAUUUGGUCCUAUUACAACUAUUGGUCCAUUUGAUUGAUUUAGUUGUAUAUGAUACUCCCACUAUGCUUGUAAAACGGUUUUUAAAGAAAGAGUAUAUGGUACUACUAACAUAAGGUUUGCAUUCAUUGAUGGACUAUAUAGUUGCCUUAGGGCCUUAGGAUGACUAUGAACCUUUGAUUCGAUCCAACACGAGCCUAGUGUUGAAUCUCGGUCUAGGGAUGGUGAUUGAUUUUAGUUACGCGUUUAAUCACAUUAAGACGUGUUUUCUUAUUGGGCAUUGGACCCUCUACUUCAUUUUCAUGCAUAUCAAAUAAAGCAAGAAAUAAGUACUUCAAAGUAAAGAAGAGCUUAUGCUCUUUUACAACAUUUGAUCAAAACAAAUUACCUUAAAGUAAAGAAGAGCUUAUGCUCUUUUACAAUAUUUGAUCAUAUCAAAUUACAACCAAAAUCUAAUCUACACAUUCCCAUGGUUCAAACAAAUUUGAGACGGCCUUUCACAUAGCUCAAUUAUCGUAGGCUUAGGUUCAUAAUCACCCUUUCUUUAAUUAAUUAACGCUUUAACUAAUUAAACUUGAAUGCAACAUUUUCAUUUGGUUUUUGUAUCCAUAGAAUUGAUUUAAAUGGAGCUAAAUGGAAUGAAAAUCCAAUUCUCAUUUAAAGAUACAAAACUAUUUUGUUCUCAACUAAUUUGGGCCGAAAAACAAUAACCUCAACCAUUGGGUUAUAUUGCAAAACACAAACUUUUGAGGUCACUAUGUAAAAACACAAAAAUCCACUACUUCAUGUAAUUACAACUAGAACCCAAAAAUUUCAUCAAAUACAAAAACUUCAUUAAAGGAGCAAAACAUUUUGUACUUUAGUGAUUUUGGGUCUUUACGUAAAAACAUAAACUUUUGGGUCAAAGUACAAAUACACAAAAGUAUCAAAACUUUAUGUAAUUGCAUAAAAGCCCCAAAAGUACCCUACUUUAUAGGGUGGCCGGUUUGGGUAGUGAAAAAGGGGGAAGUAGGUUUUGGUGAAAAUACAAAAUUUAAAACGAUCCCUACUUACAUACUUACUACAAUUGAUAAAAAGAGGGUUAAUUUGAGUGCUAGUUAAUAUCAUAUCAAGUUACUGUUGUCAAGAAUGAAGAGAACGAGUUGGUGCCUACACGAAUUCAAACUGGAUGGCGAGUUUGUAUUGACUAUAGGAAGCUAAACGCCACAACAAGGAAAUAUCACUUUCCUUUGCCAUUCAUCGUCCAAAUGCUUGAAAAGUUAGCCGGUCGUGCUUUUUAUUGUUUUCUUGAUGGAUAUUCUGGAUAUAAUCAAAUUGUGAUAGCCCCGGAUGACCAAGAGAAGACCACAUUCACGUGUCCCUUUGGAACUUUUGCUUAUCGUCGCAUGCCAUUCGGCUUAUGCAACGCACCUGCCACUUUCCAAAGGUGUAUGGUAAGUAUAUUCUCUGAUUAUGUUGAGAAAAUUAUUGAGGUAUUUAUGGAUGAUUUCAGUGUGUUUGGGGAUUCUUUUGAUAAUUGUUUGGAUAAUCUGACCUUGAUCUUGAAACGAUGUGUUGAAACUAACCUUGUGUUGAAUUGGGAAAAAUGUCAUUUUAUGGUUAAACAAGGUAUAGUUUUAGGCCAUAUCGUUUCAGAAAAAGGAAUUGAAGUGGAUAAAUCAAAAAUAGACCUUGUACGUCAUUUACCCUUUCCUACUUCGGUUAGAGAGGUUCGUUCUUUUCUUGGCCAUGCAGGAUUCUAUAAGCGCUUCAUCAAGGAUUUCUCCAAGAUUUCCAACCCCCUUUGCCGAUUGUUUCAAAAAGAUGUGCCCUUCAAGUUUGAUGAGGAGUGAAUCAGCAUUCAACCAACUCAAGGAGAAGUUAACUUCGGCCCCUAUUAUUAUUCCUCCCGAUUGGGGCCUUUCUUUCGAGCUUAUGUGCGAUGCAUCCGACUACGUAUUAGGAGCUAUUUUGGGGCAAAGAAAAGACAAGCAGCCGCAUAUCAUAUACUAUGCCUCUCGAACUCUCAAUGAGGCCCAAUUGAACUACUUCACAACGAAAAAAGAACUUCUUGCUGUUGUCUUUGCUUUAGAUAAGUUUCGGUCUCCUUUUAGAGAAGAAAAGAUUGCUAGCUAAUUCUUCCCUAAGUGGCCGGCCUCCUUUUAGAGAAAAAGAGAGAAAGUGUUUCUUUUCUUUGCCUUAAGAAAACCCUAAUGAGAAAAAGCUAUAAAGUUGACUUUAUAUUACAUCACAUGUGAGUGGCAAACUUGUAAUUAAUUCAAGUUUGCUUCCACUCACCCUUAUGGCCCGCCUUGUCUUUGUUAUUGGGCUAAUUGCCCAUUUUGUUUUAGUUGUCAUACAACUUAAACAUAAUGGGCCUUGUGAUAAUGGGCCUUGUGGACCAAAACACUUUUGGGCCUCGAAACCCAAAACCAACUUAAAAGCCCAAUACGAACCUUUCGUAAAAUUAAUUAACUAAUUAAUUAAUCUUGACCAUUCUCAAUUAAACCAUUUAAUCGCUUAUCCAUCUCAUUUAUAUUUCUUUACUUUCAUCCUUACUCGGUGUACGAUCCAUUAGGUUCCAAUUAGCGAGGCUGAUGUACACACUUUGUGUACAUUUAUAUCAUCUUUAAUUGGCAUUUUUGUGAUGUUUUUGAAUCAAACUAGUUGUGUUUUUACAUUAUUUUGUGCUAGUGUGCAGCCAAGUGUGUUUUAGGAUCAAUUGGAUUGCAAAUGAAGUAAAAUCACCCCUUUUUGGUAGCUGAGCAUUAUCCCAAACGUGGAGAAGGUUCUUGUGGAGUCAAUUUGAAGUUUCAAAUGAGGAUUUUAGAAGUUACUUGGCUGCAUGGAAUUUCAGGAUCACAUUUGGAGGUGUAAGGUGGCAUUCGGCCAUAUUGGGUGAGACAAGACAAGGCAAAAACAUUGGAAUUAACUUAGGUGGUUCCAAAACAUGCAAUCACAUGCAUGUUCACAAUUUGUGCCGUGCCUUCCAUUUCCUUUAAACAUCAAAACAUGCAAUCACAUGCAUGUGUUCAAACCUGCCGUGCUUUCCCUUCCAUUUACACCUCAACAACAUGUGAUUACAUGCAUGUUCACACCUUGCCGUGCAUUGCCUUACCUUUUCCAACUCCCUUUUGCAGCAAUGCAUGUGUCUUCAUUAAUCUAAGUCAUUCAGCCACCUUUGCACAUCCAAACCAAGCCAUGCCGUGCCUUUCUUUCCCUUUCCAGCAUGUGGAAAACAAUUUCUGGUUGUCCACUGCACAUUGCAGCCAUUGCACAUGCCUCUUGAAUUAAAUAAGUCCUACACAUGCUUGUGUUUCAACAUGCCGUGCCUUACCACCUCAGAAAUCACUUCAAUUCAUCAUCAUUUCAGAUUGGCAGAUCCAUUACUCUAAUUCCAGCUGCAUGUUCUCAUUAGGACUUCAAUUUAAAGUCCAUGCAAUCUCACUUCAAGCUCUCUCGGUCACACUCUCAUUCACACACCAAGAAACUCCAUUUUGUGUCCAUUCUCUAUCCCAUCCGCAACACCACCAUUCACUCACUUAGCCAUCCAAAUUUCUGACCACCCUCUCUCCCAUUUAAAACAAACCACCCAUCCACAAGCUGCUCAUCUUUCAUGUUGCAUCACAUUUGGAGAAUCAAGACCGAAGGCUACACUUAAAGGAUUUCAACAUCAGUUUUGCUUCAAGGGUUCCUUCUUCUCAAUUCUAUGUUCAUUCAUGUUAUGUAUUUCUAUGUUAAAACGUUUGUAAACAUGAAAUGUAACUAAUCUCCUCUUAGGGAUUCGAUGUAGCCUAGCAAGAAAACCAUGUAGUUAACUCAUAAUGCUCAUUUGAUCCUUCUAUUUCUUGUUUCAUUCUCUGAUUUUAUUGUGACUUUGUGUGUGUUGAUUUUAAUGCUUGAUCACCACUUGAAUUAACCACAGGUUGUGUAGCCAAAAUUAGAAGCACACAUCAUGCAUAAUUUUGGCAGAUUUGGGAGUGAAUGAAGGGGAUGUUUGGCAAACAUCAUGCCGUGUGUCCCCUUUGGUUUUGUGAAAGUUUCAUAUGUAUAAAACAUCCUUGGUUGAGAACCAAAGUUGCACAUCACAAUUUGGUUCUUGACUAGGAUGAUUUGAUCAAAUCCACACAUCAUAUGGUUGAUCAUAUCUAAGUGAAACAAACUCAAGAAAUAGGUGAAUGAAUGAGCAUAAACUGAUUUAACAAACAUGGGAUUAAUUUAGCUAUGGUGAAACCGAAUCCCUAGUUCCAUCUCCAUUGGUUUUAUUCCAUUUUAUUACUUGUUGAUUCAUUACUUGUGUUGUCAUCAUUCUUGUGAGUUUUUAAGUUACAACAACAAAUCUGUCUAAAGUUGCCUAGUUUAGUCAUUUAAUAUGGUUCUUGCAAAACAAGUGAUUAUAUAGGUCCAAUUAGUCCCUGUGGAUUCGACACCCUUACUUAUGCUAUUAUACUCAAUAUGUUUUAGCAUUAGGAAGGUUUAAAACAUAUCAUCAACAAAAAAAUGGCGCCGUUGCCGGGGACUGAUUUCAGUCCCUUGUAAUUGCUUGUUUAGUUAUGAACCCUUGUUAUGUUUAUUUUAAGUAGAGUGCUAAUUUAUAUUCAAACUUGUUUGUUUUGUUUUCAGGAAGUUUAUGUCAAAUAGACUUGUUGAGUUAGGCCAAAGAAUUGAACGGUUAAAGAGCAAUACUUUUGACAACUUUGUGCCAACAAAUUCACCCAAUUUCCGUGAAGAAGAGGAAGGGAAUUCGCCUAGUUCAACAAGUGAAGGAUCUAAGCACAUUAAUUGGGAAAGAGAAGAAGAGAUGGCGGACAACCAAGAUGAACUUCGAGCUUUGGAGGACUUUGCUCAACCAAUCAUACCAAAUUCUCCUUCAUGCAUCUUGCUGCCCACCGAAGCUAGAAACUAUGAUCUUAAAUCUUCACAUUUUCAUAUGCUUCCCUCGUUUUAUGGCUUACCUAAUGAAGAUCCUUUAGCUCAUGUGAAAGAAUUCUAUAAUGUUGUGAGUGGUUUACCUUUGCAGGGAGUAAGUGAAGCAAAUUUGAGGAUGAGAGUAUUCCCUUACACAUUGAAAGAUAGGGCCAAGAGUUGGUUGAUGACUCUAGCACCGGGUUCCCUCAUCACUUGGGAUGCCGUGGCUAAGAAGUUCUUGGAGAAGUUCUUCUCCACUCAAAAGACAGCCACAUUAAGGGGACAAAUCUUCAAUUUCAAACAAGAUGAUGGAGAACCUUUCAAUGAGUGUUGGGAGCGUUUUAAAGGCCUUUUGUUGCAAUGUCCACACCAUGGGUUACCUUUUCAUUUACAAAUGCAAAUUUUCUAUGAUGGACUAACCCAAACAUGUCAAUCAACUGUUGAUAAUGCAGCAGGUGGAGCUUUGAAGAAAAAGAAUGCUCAAGAGUCAUAUAACAUUUAUGAGAUGUUGGGGUCUAAUGCUCAACACAAAGAUCUAAGGGGUAAGAAAGUUGGAGUGUAUGAAACAAAUUCUAAUCAUGAACUUUCCUUGCAGGUAGCUAACCUAGAGAAGAAGCUUGAAGCCGUGCUCAACAUGGUGCCAAAAGCAAAUGAGGUGUGUGCCAUUUGCAACAUACCAAACCACCUUACUCAUCAAUGUCCAUCUAAAGAAGCCUACCCCGAAUUUGUCCAAGAACAAGUGAACCUCAUGAAUUCUUACAAUCAAAGGCCAAGGAAUGAUGUGUAUUCAAACACAUAUAACCCAAGUUGGAGAGAUCAUCCCAAUCUUUCAUGGAGGAACAACAAUCAAAAUCAAAAUCAAUUCCAAAACUUCCAACCAAAACCGGCCACUACACUUGAGGAUACGGUUAAGUUGUUAGCUCAAAACACCUUGCAAUUCCAACAAGCUACCAAUAGCACUUUCCAACAACAUUCGGCUGCCCUAACCAAAAUGGAGACACAAUUGGGACAGAUUGCGGAUGCCUUGAACCAAAGAGAAAUUGGAAAGUUUCCAAGCCAACCCGUGAUGCUUCAAAGGAACCAAGAGCAAGCCAAAGCAAUCACUACACUUAGAAGUGGUAAGGUUAUCAAUAAUAGAGUUGGUAAUGAAGUUACUAAUGAAUUUGAUCAUGUGAAUGCAGGGGUUACUCAAGGAGAAAAUGAGAAACCAAAUGAGGAACCAAGCCCUGCCAAUUCCUCAUUUGAAGCACCAAAUCUUCACAAGGCCGAGAAGCCUUAUACUCCACCAAUACCAUUCCCUGGAAGACUUGCCAAAAGCAAGCAGGAUAAGUCAUUUAAGGACAUUUUUGAUAUUCUAAGUAAAGUGAAUGUUAACUUACCUUUGCUUGAUGUCAUUAGGAACAUGCCAGCUUAUGGGAAAUUCUUCAAAGAGUUAAACAACUACAAAAGGAAGUAUGGACCACAUGAGAAGGUAGUGGUGUCUGAGAAUGUAAGUGCAGUGUUGCAAAGAAAACUUCCACCAAAGCUCAAAGAUCCAGGGAGUUUCUCUAUCAACAUUACUAUAGGAGAAAAUAAAGUUGAAAAAGCAAUGCUUGAUUUGGGUGCUAGCAUCAAUUUAAUGCCUUAUUCUGUGUACCUUCAACUAGGUUUGGGGGAAUUGAAAGCCACCACCAUUUCAUUACAACUUGCAGACAGAUCCGUGAAGUAUCCAAGAGGUAUAGUAGAGGAUAUUCUAGUUCAAAUUGAUAAACUAAUCUUGCCUGCGGAUUUUGUAGUGUUGGACAUGGAAGAAGCUCCUAUACAUGAUAGAGAGUUGCCUAUUUUGCUUGGAAGACCAUUCAUGGCCACGGCCAAGACUAUCAUUGAUGUGCAAAACGGACUCCUCACUAUGACAGUGCUAGGAGAGACCGUGCAAUUUAAAGUGUUUGAGUCUCUUUCUCAUCCUUCUUCAUCUCUUGAGUGCUAUGCCAUUGAUGUGCUUGAUUCACUUGUUUUCUCUAAGUUCUUGCAGGCACAAUCUAGUGAACCAUUACAAACUGUUUUGACUCAAUCUCAAGAUGAGUUUGAUGAAGAAGAUGCACUCAUGAAAGUAGUAGCUGCCUUGGAAGCAUUGGCACCGUAUCCUUUAAAUGUUUCACCUCUUGUAGAGCAUUUAGAACCAUCUAGGUCACAUUUAAUUCCUUCCAUUGUUAAGGCACCAAAACUUGAACUUAAACCACUUCCACCACAUCUUAAAAUAUGCAUAUCUAGCUGAAUUUGAAACUCUUCCAGUUAUCAUAGCUUCUGACCUAAAUCCAAAUGAAGAAGAUAAGCUAAUGAGAGUGUUAAAAGAGUCUAAAUCAGCUAUUGGAUGGUCUAUUGCAGAUAUCAAGGGAAUAAGCCCUACCAUGUGCAUGCAUAGGAUUCUUUUGGAGGAUGGAUCAAAGACAACCCGUGAACCACAAAGAAGACUCAAUCCACACAUGAAGGAAGUGGUGAGGAGUGAAGUGUUGAAGUUGUUGUUAGAUGUGGGAAUCAUAUAUCCCAUUUCUGAUAGCAAAUGGGUGAGUGCUAUUCAGGUGGUACCCAAGAAGGUGGGAAUCACAGUGAUGACAAAUGAAAACAAAGAGCUUGUGCCCACAAAGCCCACAGCCAGUUGGCGUGUGUUUGCACUGAUUACAGGAAGUUGAAUUCUAGCACUAGAAAAGAUUACUUUCCUAUGCCUUUCAUAGAUCAAAUGCUUGAGAGAUUGGCAGGUUACUCACAUUAUUGUUUUCUGGAUGGUUACUCAGGUUACAAUCAAAUUGCAAUUGCUCCAGAGGAUCAAGAGAAAACUACCUUUACUUGCCCCUUUGGCACAUUUGCAUAUAGGAGAAUGCCAUUUGGACUUUGCAAUGCUCCAGCAACUUUCCAAAGAUGUAUGUUGGCCAUCUUUUCUGACAUGGUAGAAAGAUUCAUUGAGGUAUUUAUGGAUGACUUUUCAGUGUUUGGUUCUUCUUUUGAUGAAUGUCUUAACCAUCUCUCUUUAGUACUUCAAAGAUGUCAGGAAACAAAUUUGGUUCUCAAUUGGGAAAAAUGCCAAUUCAUGGUGAAACAAGGAAUUGUGUUGGGACAUGUAAUCUCUAGCAAAGGAAUGGAGGUGGACAAAGCCAAAAUUGACAUAAUCACCAAGAUGGCACCUCCCACAACCGUGAAGGGAGUGAGAAGUUUUUUGGGACAUGCGGGUUUUUAUCGACGUUUCAUUAAGAACUUUUCAAUGAUCACUCGUCCAUUAUGCAAUCUAUUAGCUAAAGAUGUUGCAUUUCAUUUUGAUACAGCUUGUAUGGAUGCAUUCAAAACUUUGAAACAGGAAUUAACCUCGGCCCCAAUUUAUUAUGGCACCAGAUUGGUCUUUACCUUUUGAAUUAAUGUGUGAUGCCUCUGACUAUGCUAUUGGUGCAGUUUUAGGGCAAAGGGUGAACAAACUUCCACACGUGAUCUACUAUGCAAGUCGGACUCUAAAUGAUGCUCAACUUAACUAUUCCACAACUGAAAAGGAGUUGCUUGCUAUUGUUUUUGCUUUAGAGAAGUUUCGGUCAUACCUUGUGGGAUCUAAAGUUAUUGUGUUUUCUGAUCAUGCAGCCCUUAGGUAUUUGAUGACAAAGAAGGAUGCUAAACCACGCUUAAUUAGAUGGAUACUUUUACUACAAGAGUUUGACUUGGAGGUUCGAGAUAAAAAGGGAAGUGAUAAUGUUGUGGCUGACCACUUGUCAAGACUUAAUGAGAACCAUGGAGUUGCACAACCUUUGCCUCUAAAUGAAUCAUUUCCAGAUGAACAACUCCUUGUUGUUCAAGAAAAAGAACCGUGGUAUGCUGAUUUCGUUAAUUAUCUUGCUUGUGGUGUAAUGAGAAAUGACAUUUCUUUUCAGGAAAGAAAAAAGUUCCUUGCCAUGGUCAAGCACUACGUUUGGGACGAACCAUAUUUGUUUAAAUAUUGCCCUGAUCAACUCAUUAGGAGAUGUGUCCCAGAGAGUGAACAACAAAGCAUUCUAACGUUCAGUCAUACAUUGGCAUGUGGCGGACAUUUUGGUGCCAAAAAGACAUCUCUUAAAGUUUUACAAUCUGGUUUCUUUUGGCCUACUUUAUUCAAAGAUGCUUUUGAUUUUUGUUCUAAUUGUGAUAGGUGCCAAAAGAUGGGGAACAUUAGCCGAAGAAAUGAGAUGCCAUUGAACAACAUUUUGGUGGUAGAGCUUUUUGAUGUUUGGGGAAUCGACUUCAUGGGACCAUUUCCAUCAUCUUUUGGCUACUUAUACAUAUUAGUGGCAGUUGAUUAUGUAUCCAAAUGGGUUGAAGCCAUUGCUACAAGAACUAAUGAUCAUAAGGUUGUUUUGCACUUUAUUAAAGAUGUGAUUUUUUGUAGGUUUGGAACGCCAAGAGCUAUUAUUAGUGAUGGUGGCAGCCAUUUCUGCAACAAACCCUUUGAAUCAUUGAUGAGGAAGUACAACAUCAACCACAAAGUGGCAACCCCGUACCAUCCUCAAACCUCAGGACAAGUGGAGAUUAGCAAUAGGGAGAUCAAAAACAUUUUGAUGAAGACUGUGAGCCCCACAAGGAAGGAUUGGUCGUUGAGGUUGAAUGAUGCACUUUGGGCGUAUAUAGAACAGCGUACAAGACCCCCAUUGGCAUGAGUCCUUAUCGUCUUGUGUUUGGGAAAGCUUGUCAUUUGCCAAUGGAGCUUGAACACCGAGCAUAUUGGGCCAUUAAGAAGUUCAACUUUGAUUACAAGGAUGCUGGAAUAGCAAGGAAGCUCCAACUUAAUGAGUUGGAAGAGCUCAGAAAUGAGGCAUAUGAAAAUGCCAAAAUUUACAAGGAAAGGACUAAGCUCUAUCAUGACAAAGCCAUCCUAAGGAAGGAGUUUCACCAAGGUAUGAAAGUACUUUUGUAUGACUCACGUUUGAGACUUUUUCCAGGUAAAUUGAAGUCUAGAUGGGUAGGACCAUUCAAAGUGUUGCAAACAUUUCCCCACGGAGCUGUGGAGAUAGAGAACAUGAAGAAUGGCACCUCUUUCAAAGUCAAUGGACAGAGAUUGAAACCAUAUUUGCAACAAGAGGAGGAAGGGCAAGUGUAUCAAAUUGUCGAUUUUCUUGAGUUUACAACACCAUGAACAAGUUCCAUGUCUUGCCUAGACAUUAAAUAAAGCGCUUGCUAGGAGGCAACCUAGUGUGGUUUGUAUUCUAUCUUCAUGUUGUGUUUAUGUUGUUACCAUUCCAUAUUAUUUACCUACUUGAAUUGCAUACAAUUUUAAGCAUCGAGGACAAUGCUUACCAUAGGUUUGGGGGUAUUUUGGGAUGGAAGGUUUGUUUUUGUGUUUGUUUUGGUUAAGUGUGCUUUUGCUUACUAAUUCGAAUGCUUAUGAGGACUAUGUUUGCAAACAAACUUUUGGGUUGCUAUAAAAAAAUUUUGUAUCUUGUGUCUUGUAUAAAGAUGUAAUUCUUGGAGAUAUGAUGAUAGAGGUACCAUACUCAAAUUCUGGAAGAAGAAUAGUGGAGACUACCCUAGUGAGUUAUUUUGAGCUUAAUUGCUUCUUUUAGAGGGUUUAAAGUGUUUCAACUCCUAUCUUUUUCUUUCAAUUUCACUUUAAAUGAUCUCUUUACUUCUAUUUUGUUUGGAUGCUAAGAAUUACUCUAUUUUGCAGAUACCAUGUGUUUGGUAUCAUUCAUGAAUGAACUCAAUGAAAUGAUGUUAGGCUAUGCAUGUUUUAACUACUAAAAGGCUUAAAUCCUAUCCCUUUGUGUGCUCCAUUCACCAUUGUUGCAGCCAAACACUUUAGCCUAAUUCUUUCAUCACCCGCACCAUACUCUACCCAUUCUAGCUCAAUAUAAGCCAUACCUUAUAGUUUGGGGAAUACCAAUUUGAUGAAAGCUUAAGGUAAAUUGAGUGAGAGAUCAAGAUUGUGGCGUGUACCGAGGGCACCUAUGUGAAAGUUGUUUCUAAGCAUAAAAGUUAUAAAAAAAAAAGAAUCAAAGUGGAUACAAGUUCCAAAUCUCCUCUUUAUAAGGUUUAGGGCCUGGACGCCAAAAGAAGAAAGAAGGCAAAUGCAAGUGAAGAGCAUGAUCCUCAAGGACACUUUGGUAUUCCCCAAGCUCUAGUAUUUCAUAUCCCUUCUUUCUUAACCUUUAACCUAAGCCUUGCAUUACAAUCUUGAGAAAGACCUAGCUGAUCAUUGAGGAUGUAUUCAUGGGUGAUGGUAAGUGUAUGUUAUUUUUAUUCUUAGCAUUUGAUUCAUUUCAUGAGAUCUACUCAGAAAUUGUGCUCCCAUUUCGGAUUUCAUAUGUGAGAAUUUUGAUUGCCUUUACAUAAUUUCACUCAUAUAUGUUGUGAAGAGACUGAACCUUAGGAUCUGAGUGAGAAAUUGAGUGGAAGCUGUGAGGAGUAGAGUUGAGGCGAUUUCUUUCUUAAGCAUUUGGGUAUGGUGGCCUUGAAGUUGUAAGGCAUGUAGAAAUAUCUUUAUACAUCACAAUUGAUAUAAUUCUUUGGAGUAGAAAACUUUUGAGUUUGGAUGUAUGGCAAAGUUUUCUUUGGUUCUUAUUAUUUGGUGUAAAGCAUGUUUUAACCAACAUACAUGAAUGUUUUGUGUGUUGUGUGUGUUUUAGUUUUAAGUUUGCUCGUGGACUAGCAAAAACCAGGUUUGGGGGUAUUUGAUGUACACACUUUGUGUACAUUUAUAUCAUCUUUAAUUGGCAUUUUUGUGAUGUUUUUGAAUCAAACUAGUUGUGUUUUUACAUUAUUUUGUGCUAGUGUGCAGCCAAGUGUGUUUUAGGAUCAAUUGGAUUGCAAAUGAAGUAAAAUCACCCCUUUUUGGUAGCUGAGCAUUAUCCCAAACGUGGAGAAGGUUCUUGUGGAGUCAAUUUGAAGUUUCAAAUGAGGAUUUUAGAAGUUACUUGGCUGCAUGGAAUUUCAGGAUCACAUUUGGAGGUGUAAGGUGGCAUUCGGCCAUAUUGGGUGAGACAAGACAAGGCAAAAACAUUGGAAUUAACUUAGGUGGUUCCAAAACAUGCAAUCACAUGCAUGUUCACAAUUUGUGCCGUGCCUUCCAUUUCCUUUAAACAUCAAAACAUGCAAUCACAUGCAUGUGUUCAAACCUGCCGUGAUUUCCCUUCCAUUUACACCUCAACAACAUGUGAUUACAUGCAUGUUCACACCUUGCCGUGCAUUGCCUUACCUUUUCCAACUCCCUUUUGCAGCAAUGCAUGUGUCUUCAUUAAUCUAAGUCAUUCAGCCACCUUUGCACAUCCAAACCAAGCCAUGCCGUGCCUUUCUUUCCCUUUCCAGCAUGUGGAAAACAAUUUCUGGUUGUCCACUGCACAUUGCAGCCAUUGCACAUGCCUCUUGAAUUAAAUAAGUCCUACACAUGCUUGUGUUUCAACAUGCCGUGCCUUACCACCUCAGAAAUCACUUAAAUUCAUCAUCAUUUCAGAUUGGCAGAUGCAUUACUCUAAUUCCAGCUGCAUGUUCUCAUUAGGACUUCAAUUUAAAGUCCAUGCAAUCUCACUUCAAGCUCUCUCGGUCACACUCUCAUUCACACACCAAGAAACUCCAUUUUGUGUCCAUUCUCUAUCCCAUCCGCAACACCACCAUUCACUCACUUAGCCAUCCAAAUUUCUGACCACCCUCUCUCCCAUUUAAAACAAACCACCCAUCCACAAGCUGCUCAUCUUUCAUGUUGCAUCACAUUUGGAGAAUCAAGACCGAAGGCUACACUUAAAGGAUUUCAACAUCAGUUUUGCUUCAAGGGUUCCUUCUUCUCAAUUCUAUGUUCAUUCAUGUUAUGUAUUUCUAUGUUAAAACGUUUGUAAACAUGAAAUGUAACUAAUCUCCUCUUAGGGAUUCGAUGUAGCCUAGCAAGAAAACCAUGUAGUUAACUCAUAAUGCUCAUUUGAUCCUUCUAUUUCUUGUUUCAUUCUCUGAUUUUAUUGUGACUUUGUGUGUUGAUUUUAAUGCUUGAUCACCACUUGAAUUAACCACAGGUUGUGUAGCCAAAAUUAGAAGCACACACAUCAUGCAUAAUUUUGGCAGAUUUGGGAGUGAAUGAAGGGGAUGUUUGGCAAACAUCAUGCCGUGUGUCCCCUUUGGUUUUGUGAAAGUUUCAUAUGUAUAAAACAUCCUUGGUUGAGAACCAAAGUUGCACAUCACAAUUUGGUUCUUGACUAGGAUGAUUUGAUCAAAUCCACACAUCAUAUGGUUGAUCAUAUCUAAGUGAAACAAACUCAAGAAAUAGGUGAAUGAAUGAGCAUAAACUGAUUUAACAAACAUGGGAUUAAUUUAGCUAUGGUGAAACCGAAUCCCUAGUUCCAUCUCCAUUGGUUUUAUUCCAUUUUAUUACUUGUUGAUUCAUUACUUGUGUUGUCAUCAUUCUUGUGAGUUUUUAAGUUACAACAACAAAUCUGUCUAAAGUUGCCUAGUUUAGUCAUUUCAUAUGGUUCUUGCAAAACAAGUGAUUAUAUAGGUCCAAUUAGUCCCUGUGGAUUCGACACCCUUACUUGUGCUAUUAUACUCAAUAUGUUUUAGCAUUAGGAAGGUUUAAAACAUAUCAUCAACAGAGGUAAUGGGCGAUUGUUACUCUUAACGAUCGAUUGUGAAUUGAAACAACAUUUCAAUUCUCCCUUUGAUGAAGAUUAGUGUUUGCUAAUCUUCAGGGCUUCCACAAACCAUGAGUGACACCUAGCAGUAUGCCAUGGCUACCCAAGCUAAGUAGAAGUGGUUGGAGAACCUAUCCAGUUACAAUUACAAUGCAAUACGGUCCUUUUCUAAUACAAUACUCUUAAUCACAUUGUUUGAGUGAUAGUUUGUUUCAUGUCUAUUAUCCAGUGUGAUACUUCUUUACAUAAUUCAAUUGAAUAUGAUUUGGAAGAAACUUCCUAAGUCAUAUUCAUAUGCUUUGGUCAAAGACUCCCGAAUCAUAUCUUAGAGUAUUCUCCCUCCACCUUGGAAGGUUAGAGAUCCCUUGUUGUGCAUUCAUAUGUCUACAUGACUAGAUAUCUUGACCCCAACAAUGCCAUGGACACUCUCGAUGGAAUGCCUUUGACAUGAUCAAAGAUCAAGGACCUAACCAUUAGACAUCUAUGAUGCCUCAGGUCAAAAGACUAUUUUGCAUAUUGCAACUUAUGAGUUCUUACAUGACAUGUAUGUUCAAACUCUCUUUUGAUCGUUGUUUAGUGUACUUGAUUACCCUUUCGAGCACCUACGUGUUUGUCUUAGUGUCCAACACUAAAUGACUUGAGACUAGUCAUACUCACGCUUGAGUUGACAUAACACAUACUAACCUUAGCAGAUUGUCAAUGCCCAAUUGGCAAUCCUAUGGCUAGGAACGUUUUAGGAAUGAACAUAAGAGAAAGGUCUCGUUAAUCUAACUUACUUAGAUCACUUCUCUCUCGGAUUAAAUACUUUCCUUGGAUUCCCUUAUUGCUUAAACACAUGAUACAAUAAAUAGUGAUUAACAAUAAGCUUUGCCCUUCAUUAAACAUAUAAUAGUUUAAUACAAUAAGUAUUCCAAAAGCUAUUACAUCAAAUAAGUGGCUUUGUGGGCAUACUUCCAACACUUUCUUGUCUCAAAGUGUUUACAAUAUGUUUUGUUUGUGUUUUUGAGUGUUUUUAGUCAAGCCAAAACCCUAAAUUCAUCCAAAGUUGUGUUUAGAGUCAGAAACUGCCUAGUUUGUGUUUUUAGGCAGUUUUGAGUGUUUUUAAGUUGUUUUGAGUCUUGUGAACCUGUUUUGAGUCCUUUGAGUCUAUUCAAACGUUUUUAACUUUGUUUUUUUAUGUUUUUGAGUCAGUUUAGAGGUUUUAGCAAGCCCUCCUAAUCCCAGUUUAACGAUCCCUACUUGCAUUUAUACUACAAUUUGACAACAAGAGAGUUUAAUUUGAGUGCUUAACUUAUUUCACAUCAUCCAUAUAUAUGGAUAUCCCAUAAACCCCAAGUCAAGCAGGCCAUUACCAACUAUAAAAUCACAAAAGUCACGUCUACUAGCCACAGACCUAUUAUUCCCACCUUCCUUCUCAGAGUCAUCAAUAAUGUCAUUAAAAUCACCAAUAAGUAAACACUUAUCACCUGCUGCCUCAAUCCUCCUAGAUAACAUCCUCCAUUGCUCCUUUCUUCUUUUUUUUCAUCCGCACUUGCAUAUACCGCGAAUAACCUCCAUUGGUCAUUUUUCUGCCUGUCAUAAAUACCAACUUCAAUAAAGAAAUCCGCAUAUUUGACAAAUAAAACAUGAUCAUAGUUUCGCCAAAAAAUACACAUCCCACCAGCUAUUCCCCUUGGUUCAACAGCAUGCAUAAAAUUCAUCCUAAGCCUUUGUUUUAAAUACACAUAGCGAUUACUUCGAUUUUUUGUCUCCAACAGAAUCACUAUAUCAGGGAUGUGGAGCCUAUUCUGCUCCAUCAAGUAGUUAACUGUCAGGUCACCCCCGAUAUCCUGACAGUUCCAACAAAUUAGCUUCAUGGGGACUUAGGAGACCCCUUAAGGCUGUUCUCCUCCGCCUCAAAACAUACCAUUUUCCUUGGUCGAUUACUCUGCGGUUCAAAGCACUCCACUGCCUUUCUUUCUGAAUAACUCUCUUCCUCUUUUUCUGUUGAUUCAUCACAGCCUCUAUAAUAGGAUCCAAGUCAAAAGGGGUCAUCUUCCCUCACGCCGGGCCCCACCCCCAAACCUCCACCCACACCCUGUAAUGCCUGACCCAAAACAGUAUCCUCUAAGUUUUGGUCGUUGACAAAAAAAAAUGCUUUGGUUCGAACACCGAACAUGCAAUGAUCAAACAUCUUAAUAUUUUACAAAAUUCUGGGUCAAUUCAUUCCAAGUUCUUGUUUUUUUUUUCUAAUUUAACAAUACUAACCCUUGUUAAUUCUUCUAAUAAUUCUAUUUCUUUUGUUUUGGUUUAUUGUUUAAGGGUUAUGUUUAUCCUAAUAUUUUUAGUGACACAUUGUAAAACCAGACAUCACAUCUCCAUAUGUUUUUAUUUUUUGUUAUAAGUGAUAAUUUUUUAAUGGAAAAGUUUAAAACUAGACAUUGCUGCUCCGUCUGAUUCAGGUCCUUCAGAAGUUGGUGAGUUCAUAACCGGCCUUUUGAUGCAUUGAUAUUCGGAUCAACUGUACUCCAACCCUAAAAAAUAUGGUCCCACGGUUAUAUGCUUGUUCUAAUAUUUUUAGUAACGCCUUGUAAAACCAGACGUCACACCUUCAUAUUUUUUUGUUAUUUAUUUAUUUUUGUUACAAGUGAUAUUUUAUUAAUGUGUACUAACAUGAAUGAGAAAGUUUAAACCCGGGACCUAAUGGAUUGAGGUACAAUAUCCCUAAACAAUAGGGCAGUAACCUCACACCUCCAAUUAUUUAUUGUGGAUAGUAGUCUAGUAGUAGACCAUGAAAUUGUACGUGUAAGUGAGCGAUUGGCUUGAAAAAUGGCUGCUAGUGGUAGAGGCUUCUUAGAUAACAAGACCCUCAAUCUGUUAACCAUCCAUGAAUGUCACCCUGCUAAGACCAACUCCAACAAUGGGCUAAAACCUAAAAUUUCCUUUCCCCCCUCCAAAUCCACUCCAACCUAUGACCUAAAAUAAACCUAAAACCUAAAACCCAAAUGGGGGUCAAAUUCCGGCCCAAUUUUAGGCCACAAAGCAAAAUGGACCCCACCAACUGAGACUGAAACCAAGGUUGUGAAGCCAACUUCCCAAAUCCAACUCGCUAGGCUUUUGCUGAAGGGUGACAACCCCACGUGGGGGUGUUCCCCCGGUUGUCAGAGCAAUAAGUAGCCAAACGGCUACUUUUUAUCAUCCAAGGGUCUUCAUUAAAUGGGCCGUUGGUUAAUCCAACGGUCCAUGUUCAAUUUUUUUUUUUAGUUUUAUAUUUAUAUAUUUAUUGAAUCCAACGGCUUAGAUCGAAUAUAAUCAAAUCUAACGGUAAAAAAAAAAGAUCUAACGGUCCAAAUUUAAAUCCAACGGCUAGAAUAAUUUAAAAAUUCAACCAAAAACUCUAUAAAUACCUAUGUAUUUGUUCAAACAUCCACACAAAACUCAUUUUUCUCCUACAAUUCUUCCAAUUUUUCUUUCUACCAUUUCUUCUCAUUUCCAAAUUUUUCAAGAUGGCAAAAGAGCAUGUUAGAGGUCAUAAGUGGAUCUUUGACGAAGAUAUUGCUUUAUGUUUGGCAUGGAUUUUUGUUAGCGAAGAUGGUGCCAUUGGCACGAAUCAAAAUAGAAAGGUUUUGUGGGGUAAAAUCGUUGAUAAGUUCCAUGAAAACUCCAACGCCGGUCGAAGGGAAGUUGGUGGUGUUUAUGAUCGGUGGAAGAUUAUCAACAAAGCGUGCACUUUGUGGAAGGGAAGCUUGGAGAGAGCCAUGGUUGACAUGCCUAGUGGAAGGAACGCCUCUGAAAUUGUCUGAAAUUGUGAGUUUCUUUGUUGAUAUUUUAGUUGUCAUGUACAUAAUAGUAUUUUGCAACUAAUUGUUUUUAUGUAUUUGUUGCAUAGGGUGACAAAGCAAUGACAAUUUACAAGACAAGAACUACACCAAAAAAUCAAGCUUUUAAGUUGCAUCAUGCUUGGAACAUCCUCAAGGAUUGUCUGAGGUGGGGAACCGAUGCGAACCAACAAUGUGGAAGAUUAUUUCACAGUGAAGCCCUACCCUCAAAUGAUGUCAAUGAAGGUGUGAAUUUUGCCGACAAUGAAGGUGUCGAACAAAUGAACCCAACUUCUUCUUUUGCAGGGCCCCCGGAGAAAAAGGAAGUCCCAAGAGCUGAUACGUGCACAAUUUGCUAGCGAAAUGACAAGAAUGAACGAAAACCAGUGCCGUCGGCAAGAAGAAUCGGCUCAAAUGCGUUUGGCCAUGAAGGAAGAAGGGGAUAAGGAGCAAGACAGGUUCAAAAUUAAUUUGAUGAUGGAGGACCUUGACAAAUACACUCCAGAGAGGAAGAAAUACUUACGUGGUAAGCAAAAGGACAUUUUACGAAGGAAUGCCACAAUGAGUAUAUUUCAAGAUUAUGAUUCAUCUCAAGACUAUCACCCAAGUUCAUCACCAAGUCAAGAUGGUGGAUAUCAUUAUUAAGUUUAUGUAGUUUAUGAGUUUUCGAUUGUAUUAAGUUUAUGUGGUUUAUUAAUUGUCUUUUAAAAAAAAAAGUUUAUGUGGUUUAUUAAAUGUCGUUUGUAUUAAGUUUAUAUGGCUUAUCAUGAUUUUCAUGUAUUGAUUUAGUGAUUUUUCAAAAUUUAUUGGAAUUUAAAUAUUUUUAGGUUAAAAUGUUCAUAAAAUUAAUUUAGGAUAGUCUAUAUAAUUUUUUUUUUUAAAGUUAAUUUAAAAAAAAGGGUAAAUAUCAGUUUACCACCCUCAAGUUUUGUGCUUUUCAACAUUUAGUACAUGAAGCUUUUUUCAUCCCAGAGUCAGACCUAAAGUGUUAAUUUUGGGACAGUCUCAUACAUCUGUUAAGUUUUCCGUUAGAACUUCUAUUAACUGAUGAUGUGACACCUACAUGGACAAUUAAUGGGCGCCACGUGUCAAUAUGGACCCACUUCAAUAUUAAAAAAUUAAAAAAAAAAAACCACAUCAUCUUCUACCUCCCCCAACCCGUCCCUUCCUUCUUUCCUCUGCAACCCCCACCCUCUCUUCUCUCCUCUGCAACCCCCACCCACCCACCCUCAUUUGUCUCCGCUGUAACCCGUACCAACCACCUCACACCAAAAUUUUGAUUGGGGAAUUGGUGGAAAGAAUGAGAUACACAGACCAAGAUUUUGGAUUUUGAUUUGGAUGGAGAGCUCGAGGAUGCUUUUGAUUUGAUCGACAGAAAUAGCAAGGAGGGUGAUGAUAAUUUUGUUCGGACACAAAUUUAGCAAAACAAAACUAAAAAAAAUCGAAUUCAUCAAAGUGCAAACCACAACCCAAAACCCUACCACCUAAAGAGCAAUUCGCAUAUGUGACAGCCCGUCCCUGAUUUUAAGAGUUUUAAAGUUUUAAUAAAGGAUUUUACAAAAAUGCCCUUUGAGGCACGCGCAUUAUUCGAGGUUAAUCGUUGUGUCGUGCCAUCUAAGAUUUAUUUUCUUGACGUAUCAUCGUAGUACUCGUUGCUACGGACGUGUGGGCGCUGACGGUUUGUGAUUUGGAGUUAUAUCGAAAAAGUUAUUAACGUUUGAAAUUUGGGAUUUUAAGGAAUUAUAAUUUUAGUAAAAUCUAGAAUUUCUUUUAUGAAAAUGGACGGCCCAGAUUUAAUGAAGAAUUAAAUGGAUGGUUGGGAUGAGAGAAAGAAGGUUUGUGUGUGUGUGCGCGUAAGAAGAAGAAGAAGAGGAAUAGAUUGGGCAAAUCUGCCCAACCAGAGGAAGAGAGAGCCGGAGCUCCGGGAGAGAAAGGAGAGAGUGCUGGCGAAUGGGGAGAAGAGAGAGGAGACUGACCAAUCGGAACAGAGAAAGGAGGAAAGGAGAGAGGGCGAGAAGCGGAGGAGAGAAGGAAGAAAAAUGGGUCUUCACCCGCAACCCAUUUCGACCCGCGACACCCAAACCCAAAUUCAGACGAUUUUCACUGGAAUUCUCACAAAUUGGAUCAAGUUACCACUCCCAAUCAACACCUAGGCCUUCCCUCUUCAUGUUUCACCCCAAAAAUCAUGAAAUUUCGUGAUGAUUUCACGAAGAACACCCACACGGGUGCCGCGACUUUCUUGUUCAAAAUUCGCCCAAUUCCGAAGCAAUUUCUUUCAAUUGCCACCACCCAUACACUUCUCUUGAGGCCUAGAACAAAGCCCAAGCAUUGGUUGGGAUGGCGGAGCUGAUUUGAAGACGAAUUGGAACUCACCCAAUUCUAGGGUUCCGCACAGAUUUUGGUGAAAUUGGAGCUCUUCCAGUCCAAAUUGGCCUUAGCCUUAGGUAUAAAGUUUACUCUACUCAUUGAGAUCGUCAAUUCUGUAUUUUUUGAGAAUUUUUGGAAAUAGUUGGAUUUUCCGGCGAGCCGGGGCGGCCAACCGCCACCCGCGGCGGCCCGUGCGGCGGCGCGUGGCCAGUGGCCCACCAAUGUCAUUCUUAGCAUGUGUUUAAGGUUCUAGGUUCAGUUUUGAUAAUUGAUGGACGUAAAUUGAGUAAUUGAACCUAAGUUCAUUUCGAUUCGUGGUUAGGUGAAAAUGUGAAUUGACGAUCCAACCGUCGGAUCGUCACCAAACUUUGAUACGUUGUAAUACGUAAUAUUUGAGGAUUAUAGGAACUUACGGAUUGGGAAUCCAAUUUACGGAUCUUUCGAAAUUGGAGUUGUAAAUUCAUAAAAUAGAAUGUUAACCGUCACUUGGUUUUGGAAAUUGACGGAGAUCCGACCGUUGAAUGGUAAUGAAAAUUUAGAUGAUGUCCUAGAGGUAUAUUGUGGACCUCUGGAAGUUAUGAAUUUGAAAUCUGAGUUGCAGAUCUUCCGGAUCGAACUACGUAGUGACGUGUUUUAUAUAAGUUAUAUAUUCUAUCGAUAUGAUUUCUGAGGUUGGAUUUGAUUAUUGUUCUAGGCGCCGAUCAUCAUGACGCCUUGAUGUGUUGUGCUAAGGAGUUGUUGGGCGAACUCCAGGUGAGUGGGCAGUACUUUCUAUUUAUACCUAUAUGCUAUUGAAUUUCCCAGAAAUUGAGUUUUAAUGAAAGUAUGUUUCUAAAAUGCCAUGCAUGCAUGAUAUGCAUGAUAUGAAUGAUAUGAAUGAUAUGAACGAUAUGAAUUAUAAGAAUUGAUAAUUGAUGCAUAUAUAUAUGUGAAUUGGUGCUGUGGACGCACAUGUGAGUAUCAGGUGAGUUUUAUGUUAUUCAUGUGAAUCAUUGAUGAUGUGAAUUGUGUUGAGAGCUCAUAACCUGCACCUCUGGUGUUAGUGCUUAUAUUAUUCAUCGCACCGCACGCUCACCAUGGAUCCAAGUAGGUGCAUGUCGUACAGACCGAUAGAGGGUUCCGACAUGCUAGUCGUACAGACGACUAGAGGUGGUUCCGACUGAUAGGUGACCUUAGAUUAUGUGCACAGAUGAUUGAUGAGAGAAGCACUAGAGCGUAUUAUUACACCAUUCUUGUCGUACAGACUACUUCAGGUAGUUCCGACUUAUGUGCAGAGUAGCGCCGUACAGGUCACCAUGGUGACUCCGGUUGGAUUGGAUAUUAAGCUAUAGAAUUAACCGUACAUGACCAACUGUAGGGUCUCCGGUUGAUUCCUUAUUUCACCUGUUAUUUUGAUGCAUCAUUCAUUCUGUUUUUUAUAGUUAUAGCAUGGCAUACUUUUUGGCUUUUGAGAAAAAUUGAUGAUUUGAGAUAUAAGAAAAGUUAUAUGCUAUUAUGCUAUUUUCUGGGAAAGUAUACAGGUUUUACAGCGAGGGGUUAGAAAUGUUUUAAAUGAAAUGUUUUCGAAAAACUUUGUUUUACUGAUCCACUCAAUUUUGUUUUGCGCCCCUCCAGGUUCUAGAUAGCAGAGCUUUGGUGGCCACGAGGAAUCCAGCGGUGUUCUGACAGAAUUCACAAAAGUAGGACUCACCCUCGGAUGUUUCAUCUUAGUAAUUGUAUUUUUUUUUAAAGCUUCUGAACUGUGUAAAUGGUUACGUCACUCUCACGUGACGGCCAGCAUGCCCUCCUUCGGGACGGGGUGUGUCAGCAUAAGUGCUUAAUUAACCACUUCAAACAAUUGAAAUAAAAAAUCAAGCAGCAGAUGAACCUCACCUACACCAGUUCGUACGAGAAGCCUUCCUUCGAGUCCGAACAAAACACCUCGUAAUUACCAAAAACGACACCGAAUCGGAGAAUCCCAAUUGGCAGCAAUCGAAAGUUCUAGCUAGCUCGAAGCAAGCAAUGGUCCCAGUGGUGGAAAGAAUGCGCGAACGUGCGUGGCAAUGGCGGAAGCAGAAACCCUAGAACAGAGAGGGAGAGAGAAUCCCACUUUUCUCUUUCGUUUUUUUUUUUUUUUUUUUGGAGUGAGAUUUGAAAUUGGAAAUGAUGAUUUGAGUGUGCAUGGGUUUUCUGCUACUCCGACUCCCAAAGGGAGAAGAAAAGAGGAAAAUAGGGGGAGAAGGAAAGAUAAGGGUGAUGAUAAUUUUGGGGGGUUAGGGUUAGGCUUCCGUUGAUGCUAUGAUUUUGAUUUGGUAGGUGGGUGGGACCAUUGGUGUGAGGUGGGUGGUGUGGGUUGCAGAGGAGAGAAGGGAGGGAGGGUGGUGGGGGUUGCAGAGGAGAGAAGAUAGGGUGGGGGUUGCAAAGGAAAGAAGGAAGGGACGGGUUGGAGGGAGGUAGAAGAUGAUGUGGUUUUUUUUUUUUGAAGUGGGCCCAUAUUGACACGUGGUGUCUAGUAAUUGUCCACGUGGGUGCCACGUCAUCAGUUAACAGAAGUUCUAACGGAAAACUUAACAGAUGUAUGAGACUGUCCCAAAAUUAACACUUUAGGUAUGACUCUAGGACGAAAAAAACUUCAUGUACUAAAUGUUGAAAACCACAAAACUUGAGGGUAGUAAAUUGAUAUUUUAGGCCAAAAGGGUUGGAACAGAAAAACUGUUUCUGGGCUAAAACUUAAAUUUUUUAGGCUAAAUAUUUUAGGUUUUAGUUCAUGGUUGGAGAUAUAUCUGAUAGUUUCUGACACGACACGAGAACUACACAAAAAUAACGGAUUUCGAGUUAACACGAUAACUAAUUGGGUCAUUAUCGGGUGACCCGUUAAGAACCUGUUAAUAAUAGGUUCUUAACGGAUAUACACGCGGGUAACACGUGGGUAACCCGUUUCGACCCGUUAAGAAAAAAAUUAUUUUGAUAAUUUUAAAGUUUAAUUACUAAAAGAUUUAUUAUAAAAUACAAUAGCCAUAUUAAUAUGUACAAUAUAUUCUAUAUUAAAUAUAUAGUUUUGUAUUAUUAUUCUAUAUAAGUUUAAAAAAACAGUUUUAGUCAUUAUUUAUUUUUAUUAUGAGAGUUCCUUAUUAUUAUUACUAGGAUAAAUUUUAUUUAACAUGUUGUCCAAAAUUAAAAUAAACUGGUAUAAUAUUUGUUUAGGCAAGAACUGAGAAGACAUACAUACAAGUAUGAAAAAUGAAAGAAUAUAUAAACACUCGUGAUUCUUCAUUAUUCCUCCACGAGUAGAUAAUGGUUAUACUUACAUUAUUUAGAUUUUUAAAAUCCUCCAAACCCUCAUGAAUAAUGUUUUUUAUUUGAGGGAAAAAUUAAUAAAAUUAAUAAUUAUUAUUGUAGAAGUGUAAAAAAAUGUAAAAAAAAUAUACAAUCACUCAUAGUGACAAGCUUUACAACUUCCAUGAAAGGGUCAGCUUCGAAAUCCAACACUAUAAUCCAUAAACCUUAAAUUUAUAUUUAACCGUCGAUUGUCAUUUACGCUUUAUUCUUCUUAUUGAAUUUCAUUUUUAAAUAUUUUUUUUUUUGAAAAUAUGAUCAUCUGGCAUAUGUAAGAAGAUGAACGGUUUAGAUCUUUGAUAUCACGUUUCGAUAUUUACGGUUAACUGAAAUAGGAGUCGAUGUCAUAUAGUUUGUAGAAACUUUAUAAACAUCCAUCAAUAUUUUUACUAACCCUAAAACUCUGAACAUAAUAUCAACGAUCCAAACCGUUCAUCUUCAUGCAUCCUCUAAUAGAUCAUGUUUUCAAAAAAGGAAAAUCCGAAAAAAAAAAAUUUGAUGAGAAAAAUGAAGCGUAAAUGUAAACAACAAUCAACAGUUAAAUUUUGAUAUAUGAUUUAUAUAAUUAUAAUGGCGAAUUUCGAAGUUAAGCCAUUCACGAAAGUUGUAAAGCUUGUCAUUACAAGUGUUUAUAUAUAUUUUUUCUAUAUUUCUUUCACUUCUACAUUAAUUAAAAAACUAUUAAAGAAAAUGUGCAAGGUUCCAAUGUUUUAAUGUUCCAAUGUCCUUAAUUUUGCAAAUCUUUUGAACAUUUGAUAUUUUGUAAUGUUCUAAUGUUUUUUUUAUUAUGCUCUUAUUUUGAGUAUGUAAAUAUAUACUUAAAAGAAAAAUGCGUUUUUAUAUUUUGGAUAUGAUAAUAUGAUAUGUAUAUACUUAUUUAGUAUUAUAUUUUUCAUUUGAUUAUUUAUUGGUUUAAAAUAUAUCUUUCUUAACGGGUAACGGGUCGGAUCAUAUUACCUAUUAAUAUUAUCGGGUCGAUUUCGGGUUGGGUCAUUUUACCUGUUUAUUUUAACAGGUGUUAUACGACAUGACCCGUUAAGAUAUCGGGUAUGCAUGCCAGGUCUAGCUGGAGAUGGUCUAACGGCUUCCUUUCUGGUUAGACGGAUUUUCCUCCAUGUCCCAACUUGUUAGAGAGAGAGAGGGGUAGUAGUAAGGGUUUGUUUAAUAUCCACACAAAUGAAAAACCACCAGAAUACUAUUUAAAGGUAACCUCCAAUUUAGCAAUUAUAUAAGACUAUCUGUUUUUGCACUUCUUCCUUUUUUGUCUUCUAGGCAAUUUCAACUACCUGUUGGUUGAUUUGCCUGUGAGAGAGAGAGGGAGGGCGGUUGAGAGGGUGGGGGAGGAUUCCGAUGAAGAUUCUGCUGAACUAAUCCUCCUUGCCAAGUUCAGUUCUUCAUAAAAAAAAAAACCCCUAUUAUCUUUUGUCUUUCACUUCCACCCCCUCCUCAUCUCCUUCUUCUGUCCCUAUCUUUCAUUUCUUUUAGGUGGUGGGUUUCACCUAAUUUUUGGUACAAUCUCCACAACAACCCAGAUCUGUUUUUUUCCAUUAUUUUCUUUUCUCUGUUUCAAAAGAGAAUCAAAGAUUUUGGAGAUAUGGGUCUCUGCAUCUAGACUUAUCUUAAUCUUUUUAUUUUUCUUGGGAAUUCCAGGUGUCAGAAAACCCAUAUGAAAUCUGGGUGAGUGCCCCCACCUCCAUUAGCUCUCUCUCCUCCUUCCUCCUACCUUUGAAAGCCAGCUGUUUAAGCUGUCUGUACGGCUGGGGUCCUUUCCAUUUUCUUUCCCUUCCUUUCCAUUGAGCAAACUACAAAGCAUUUGGCUUCCUUUCCUUCUAGUUGUUGUUGUUGCAGUUUGAUCGUUUUUUGUCAACGCGAUUCAUUCAUUCGGUCCAUGUCAUAUUUAUAAAUAAAAAUUUAGCCUUCUCUGUUCUUAGGUUAGAUUGGCUUUAAGGGACUGAUUCCCCAAUUCCACCACCAAUAAUUUAGUUGAUUUGUUGUUUUGGUAAUUAAAGACGAGGAGGAGGCCCACCGUUGGGUUUUGGUGGGCUUCGUCGGAACCAAUAAAAAACCCAUAUAUUGAAAGGGAGGGAGGGGUUGUUCAAGGUACAAUUUUUUUCUUAAUUUUUUUUGUUGGGGGAGGAACAAGUGGAGACAAUUUCCUCUCAAAACAUCAAAUGUUUGAUGUUCCUCCACCAUUGAAUUUGAGGGUGCUUAUAAAUUUGUAAUGCUACUUUACUUGUUGAUAACUUGCCUCUCGUUUCUCUUUUUCAAGACUCUUCCUCUCAACCCCCUCCCACCAUGGGCUUCUGAGACUCCCUUGUUGUCACUCUUCUUCUGGAAAGAUUUCUCCUUCUUUGCCCUCUCCAAGUUCACGAAGCAAGGCCUUUCGAUUCUCUUUCGCCCUCGAAUUCCUUCCAGAAUGUCCCUCGUGAGGAGAACUCUAUCCCUUUCUUCUUCCAAAGUUGAGAAUGUUGACGACACGCCGGAGAUGUCCGUGUUGGACUUGCCGGAAUUGGUGUUGGAAUGCAUUCUCGGCAAGCUUCCUCCCGACGCGCUUUUUCAAAUGACGGGUGUUUGUUCUUCUUUGAGGGAGAGAUGCAGGAGUGAUCACCUUUGGGAGAAGCACAUGAAGAUGAAAUGGGGCAGAGUGAUUGGCCCUGCUGCCUACAGGGAGUGGCAGUGCCAUAUUGCUUCAAAAACCGAUUUGAUUGAUGUGAAGCAGGGAAAGCAGAAGGGCCUCAUGAGAAUUCUAUCUCUUGGUUGGCCUUUCUCAUGGAUUAGAUCCAAGGUUGAUGACCAUGGCACCAAGCAGAGGUCUUCCUUGCCAGCUGAUUCCAUCAUGUCUUGGUACCUUGCACUCGAGACUGGCAGGUUCUGGUUCCCUGCUCAAGUCUAUAACCGCGAGGUAUCCGCCAACUACGAUGUGCCAAUAUGUUUCGAUUACAACAGAAAGUGUGUUUAUUAAUUUGGUUUGAUGUUUGUUUUGUGUUGCAGAAUGGGCAUGUUGGUUUUGUGUUGUCAUGCUAUGAUGCUGAGCUUAGCUAUGAUCCCCGCACUGACACCUUCCAAGCCAGGCAAUUCGACUUACACCGUCGAUUGAUUUUUCUUAUUCCUUAUGUAUGUUGUUGUUGGUGUUAGCGUUUUGGUUAUGGCGAGUUGAUUUGUUCAGGUAUCCGCCACACGGGAGGAGAGCGGUUGCGAUUGAGAAGGGUGUGCCGUGGGAAAGGCUUAGAGCACCGCCGGUUGACACUCCGCCUCAUGAUCUUCACGUCUCCGACUGUUUGAAUGAGUUACGGCCUGGUGACCAUAUUGAGAUUCAGUGGAGAAGAAACAAAGAGUUUCCUUAUGGUUUGUUCUUUUCCACAUCCCUUUCUAAUUCUGGGUCAUUUGAGUCAUCUAAAUUUGAAGCUUGUGCAAUAUCCAAAGUUAACUUACCAUAAGAGAACCAAAUUUUUUAUUUUUUUUUCUUUUCUUUGGAGUCUUUAGGGCCAGUUUGGUAUUGCCUUUUUGAUCAAGUAUUUCUUGUUUACAGAACCAAUGAGUACUAAGUAAUGUAGUUACAUUUAUCAUCGUGUAAAUUAUGUUGAAAAUGAAUAGCAAACAAAUUGUUAUGAUUCAUUUGGUUGUAUUGCAGGUUGGUGGUAUGGCGUAGUAGGUCACCUCGAAUCAUGUGAUGGAAAUGAAAAUUACUGCCUUUGUCAUAAUAGUGGUGAGUUCAUUACUUUUCUGUUUUCUCCCGUUCUCCUCCCCUCCCCUCAAAGUAGUAGGAUCUUAUGCUCUCUACGAUUGGCAAAUAUGUGAUCCAAAACUUAUUUUUCUGUUGCUGUUGCUGUUGUUGUCGCUGUCUAGCUCGAAAAUAUUAUUCUAUGACUCCUACAACUUUCACCUUUUUUUUUCUUUCCCCAAAACAUUUUCUCAUCAAUUGGAAAUAGCAAUUUAGGAUAAGAAAGUUUUUUUUUUUUGAGGGUCUUUUUUUUUUCCUAAUGGGAGUAGAAAUGAAGUAGCUAGAGUAUUAUGAAUUCAUGAGCACGUGAUAAACAGCAAGAAGAAAAUAAGAAUGCAAUGCUCACUUAAUUUCACAGAAUAAAAUAGAUGCCCACAAUUGUUGAUCUUUUUUUUUCUAAUGGGGUAAGGGCUAAGUGGACCACCUUUUAUGCCAUUUGAUCGGACACCAACACAAAUCAUUGUCAGCAUGUCAUGGUUUCCACCAACGUUGUGCUAACUUUGUCUCGCGAGAAUAUUUAUGGCCAACCACAUUCGAACUAUUCAAUGUUCCCUGUCUCUGCUUUUUUAUGUUUUGAUUUGUGUUUGUUAGAGAGAUUGCAUAUUUGUACUGUGUUGGUGUAUUAUAUAAUGUUGCAAAUAAUGCAUAUAAUCAACGUUUCAAUAAGAUAAAUUCAUAAAUUAACUUGACAUGUGCACAUACAUUACUUGUCAUAUUAAAUAGUUCACUAAUGUAGUCUUCCUAAUUAAUCUGUAAGGAUUACAAUUUAUAUAUGCAUAAAAUACCUUAUUUUCUAUAGAAACUAAAUACAAAAGAUUAAAAUCAAUUACAAAUCCUAGUCCUACCAAAUAUAAGACUAUAUCUACAACAUAAAAGACUCGCGUGAACACUUUUUUUCCUUUUUUAUUUUUUUGUAUUUUGCUUUUUAUUGCAAAGUUGGAGUUGGAAUAUUCUUAAUGCUUUGGGGGGCUGCAUGCAAAAUGCAAUGGUCAACCUUGGCCUUCCAAUUUGUUAUUUAAUUAGUCUCCAUCACACACACCCACCCACCAGCCAAGCAAUCUUGCAAGAGAUUUGUGUCCUCUUCUCACCACAAUCAGACAUUAACCUUUAAAUACUAGUAAGAAUUCCUAAGACCAUCUCCAAUGGUGACCUAACACUUAAAAAUAUUUAGCCCAGAAAAUGUAGGUUUUAGCCCAGAAACAGCUUUUCUGCUCCAAUCCUUCUAGCCUAAAAUUUUAGCCCGAGAUUAUCAAAGAAUGAAUCAAGGAUAAUUUUUUUUUAUGUAGACUAUCCUAAAUUAAUUAUAUGAACAUUUUAACCUAAAAAUAUUUAAAUUCCGAUAAAUUUCGAAAAAUCACUAAAUCAAUACAUGAAAAUCAUGAUAAACCACAUAAACUUAAUACAAAUGACAUUUAAUAAACCACAUAAACUUAAUACAAAUGACAAUUAAUAAACCACAUAAACUUAAUACAAUCGAAAAUUCAUAAACUACAUAAACUUAAUAAUGAUAUACACCAUCUUGACUUGGUGAUGGACUUGGGUGAUAGUCUUGAGAUGAAUCAUAAUCUUGAAAUAUACUCCUUGUGGCAUUGCUUCGUAAAAUGUCCUUUUGCUUACCACGUAAGUAUUUCUUCCUCUCUGGAGUGUAUUUGUCAAGGUCCUCCAUCAUCAAAUUAAUUUUAAACCUGUCUUGCUCCUUAUCCCCUUCUUCCUUCAUGGCCAAACGCAUUUGAGCCGAUUCUUCUUGCCGACGGCACUGGUUUUCGUUCAUUCUUGUCAUUUCGCUAGCAAAUUGUGCACGUAUCGGAUCUUGGGAUUUCCCUUUUCUCUUUACUUCCUUCUGCUUAUCUCUACCCGAGGGCCUUGUAAAAGAAGAAGUUGGGGUCAUUUGUUCGACACCUUCAUUGUCGGCAAAAUUCACACCUUCAUUGACAUCAUUUAGGGUUGGGGCUUCACUAUGAAAUAAUCUUCCACAUUGUUGGUUCGCAUCGGUUCCCCACCUCGGACAAUCCUUGAGGAUGUUCCAAGCAUGAUGCAACUUAAAAACUUGAUUUUUUAGUGUAGUUCUUGUCUUGUAAAUUGCCAUUGCUUUGUCACCCUAUGCAACAAAUACAUAAAAACAAUUAGUUGCAAAAUACUAUUAUGUACAUGACAACUAAAAUAUCCACAAAGAAACUCACAAUUUCUGAGGCACCCUUUCCAUUAUGCAUGUCAACCGUGGCUCUCUCCAAGCUUCCUUUCCACAAAGUGCACGCUUUGUUGAUAAUCUUCCACCGAUCAUAAACACCACCAACUUCCCUUCGACCGGCGUUGGAGUUUUCAUGGAACUUGUCAACGAUUUUACCCCACAAAACCUUUCUAUUUUGAUUCGUGCCAAUGGCACCAUCUUCGCUAACAAAAUUCCAUGCCAAACGUCAAAGAUCCACAUUAUGACCUCUAACAUGCUCUUUUGCCAUCUUGAAAAAAUAAAAAAUUUGCCACGUGGCAGACAUUUGGCAGCCACGUGGCACAAAUGUGGUAGCCACAUCAGCAUUUAACAGAUUAAUGGAUGGAAAAUCUAACGGAUGUAUUAUAUUGAAAUAAAAUAGUAUUUAAGGUAUGAAAGUGAAAUGUUUUAAAGUUGUUGUAUGGAGUUGUAAUAGAUCUCAAAACCUGAGGGGCUACUGUGUAAUUUACCCUUUAUUUUAGGUCAUGGGUUGGAAUGGAUUUGGGGGGGCGGGGAAAGGGAAAUUUUAGGUUUUAUCCCACCAUUGGAGAUGGUCUAACCACUUUAUUCAAUGCAAUCAUAUGUUUUGCAAGGGAUGCAAUCCCUUUUGUUUCCUUAUAAUAAAUCUGUUGGGGUGCUUGGAGAACACAUACAACAAUGGAAAAUACAUUUCUCUUAUAUUAAUUUUGCUAAACAAGGCAAUUGGAAAAGCAUCAUAUAUUAUCUCUCUUAAUUUACAUGGUGAUUUAUGCUUGAUCCUGCCAGUAGUCAUAUGCUUGUCUCAAGGAUUAAGCCAUGCAUGUAUAAGUAAUGAACAAAUUCAGAUUGUGAAACUGCAAAUUGCUCAUUAAAUCAGUUAUAGUUUGUUUGAUGGGAUUUGCUACUCGGAUAGCCGUAGUAAUUCUAGAAUAACCCUCACUUUUGAACAAAUAACCGUAUUCCCAAACAGAAACUUGACUCAAAGAGAUGCUGCCUGUAUAUGUCAUUGUCAUCAAAUACCCUUCCCAAUCUGUUUAGGACUUGUCCCCAAGUGUUUCUUUAUGUUAGCUUUCUGUUCAGAAUAUUUAUGUGAUCUUUUUGGUCAAGGUAGCAUGUCAGCCCUUCUUGCACUUAAGUUCGAAUCCCUUUUUCCUUCUCCUAGAUCAUUCGAUCGACAAUUAGGGCCUUGAAAAUUUGUGACAAAUUUGAUGAUUUAUGAUUUUGGACAGACACAGUGGUGCUGGAGUUCAACCAGUACACACAUGGUUCAAGGUGGAGAUGCACAAACAUCAGCAGAAGAGAUCAUCGAGAGGAGGGGAAUGAGGCAGAUGGGUUUUACGGGGGCAUCAGGAUGCUCAGAAGCAAGCAGGAGAUUUCCAUGUGGAAGCUUAUUUGGCCUACCCAAGUCUUGGAAUAGUAUAAUACUUAUAUGCAACUAUUAAUCCACUUGCAUUACGUGCACAUAAGCAAGUGGAUAUCUGAAGCUACAAGUUUGGCAUCAGAUUCAAUGGCAUUGCCUCCAAUUAUUGUGGAUUGGGGAGGAGGCCGUGGUCUAUAGCUAUUUUGUUCCCAUUUUAUUUUACUAUUUUUUCGUCGAAUGGAUUCUGAUCCCUGUACAUCACCUCCAAUUCAUGUAAGAUAACUUAUCCCACGGUUUGUAAAAGUGUAGUUGAUAAAUAUUCAAUUGGAAGUCACAGAAAAUGGUAAUGCAGUUGCAACUUCUCAUCUUGUUUUUCAAUAUUCAAGCUAUUACUUUGUUGCUUGGUAAUAAGAUCUAGUUAUAUUUCACUUCACUUAUAAGAUGUCGUUUUAUUAUGGUUGACCUUUUGUGUAACGAAGCUACUAAUGCAAUAGUGGCUUUAUGCUUCAAGGCACUCCACAGGUGAUUGGGGGUAUCAUUGAACAAGUGUAAAGUUUUAAAUUCGACUCUUGUGGAUAUGUAAAUGGUGUAUUCAAUACCAAUUUAUUAUUGUUAACACAAAUCUAAUGAGUUAAGUAGUAUAUAUAAAAGUUUGUGUCAAAACACAAACUCUACUCUCUCUCUCUCUCUCUCUCUCCCAGGUCAUAGGGCUCUCUUGGGCUUCUUUGGCCUUAUUUUACUUUUAACUCAUACAUGAUUUAAACGUUCGAAGCCAAUGUGGAAUAUAGUGGUGAAUCUAGUUUGUUAAAUUUGCAAUGCAAUGCGUUUUUAAUCUAAUUUUAGUAUUCAGUGUAAGAUAUUAUAUGUCAGCUACCUAAGUGAUUGGCUAAUGAUUACUUCGUUGUGAUAUUUAAUUCAUUUCCUUAAAUCACCUUUACGUGCCUUAGUCAGGGACUACCAAGUCACCACACAAUGACAUUAUACAAGCCAUUAUUGACACAAUAUACAAUAGUUUUAGCAGAUAAUCAACGUCCAAUUGAUAAUCUAAUGACUAAGAACGUUUAGAAUAUAUACACUAUUUGGGUUUGGUCUCAACAUCCUAAAUUAUCACAACCUAUAUUCAUUUAGGCUUGUAUUGUUUAAUUAUUAGCAAAUAAUAAAUAGAUUCAAAGAGUCAAUUCUCUGAUUAUCAUUGUUCUUCCUUCGCUUUAAACAAUUACCUUAAAACGUUUAGCUUCCCCGCAAUGGAAGCAACUAUUUUCUUCACCUUGUUUUGUGUAAAUUCUUUAAAGUUUCUCCUUUUAAUUAUUCUUUUUGAACAUUGGCUAGUAAAGGACUGCCCUCUCUAGUAGUCUUGUCAUCAUCCUUCCUCUGGUUUAUUCUUUCUCUAAAGCCAAUAUCCUAGCUGGUAAUGAGUUCGUAGUUAACUUGUUUUUAUUAUAAUUCAAAGCUCUAAUACCACUAUAAAAUAUCACAGGAUCAAACUUGGUCGCCGUUAGUUUGUUAAUUACUUUGAAGUAUUGUCAAGGGAGAAAUAGCACACCUACGUUGGAUGAUUUGUGUGGAGAAAUGAAUUCUACUUUUUAGACAUUUAUCAUACUCUUUGCUGAGAGUUAAUAGACUUCUCUAGAUGUAAUUUUUUUAGAGUGAAGUGCCGAUUUAGUUUCUGGGCUACCACCUCAGUGAAAAUUAGGUCCCUAAAUUUUUUUUUUGAUAAAAUAAGUCCCUCAAUUCAUUUAAAAUUGCUAAUUUCAUCCCUACUAUUAUAUUCAAAACUAUUUGAUCUAGUUUUCGUCAACUUUAGUCAUUUGACACAUUUUAAAGUGCAAUACCGUCAUUUUCUCGUCUAUAAGCCCUUAGCAUUUUAUAUACAUUGCGAAUCUAACAUCUAAUUUACUCUCUAAAGUUAACCUCAUACACUAUUUCUUUAUGAAAAAUUACCAGUCUACCCUCCAAUGUGUAUCACAUGCAAGUAACAUGACUUGAAUUGAUGGAAAAUUGAAUAUAGUAGCUUUGAAUCUAAUAUUAGGGAUGUAAUGGCAGAAUUUUAUAAUUCAAUGACUGAUUUUUCUUAAAAAAAAAAAAGGUUUAGGGACCUAAUUUUCGCUGAUAUGAUAAUUCAUGGACUAGAUUGACAGUUGACCUUUUUUUUGUUUUUUGUGAUAAGUCACUUCACUUGUAGAAGGGUUGUUGAACCAUAUACGAUACUCCUUUCUUGCAACAUUUUCAAGCUGUCACAGUUCAAAUAUCCAAACCUCCUAUGCCAUUUUCAAGAAUUGUCUUCAAGAGUAACAUUUUUCCAUUAUAGGAUCCACAUAUUCAAAUGUAGGGGGAAGCACCUAUUACCCUUCAUUUGUAUUGUGGCAAUAUGAUCCUGCAGAUUUCUGAAGGGAAAUUGUGAGAUUUCAUGUGGGAUUUCUAGUGACUAGCAUGCAUAUACAAUUCAAAAUUUAUAUACAUAAGCAACGGAAGCAUGUUAUCACAUAAUAUCAAAGCUAUAGUCAUGCAAAUCCCCUUCAAGAUGCAUAGGUUUAUAUAAGAUGCAUCAAAAACAAUUUAUUGAAGAACAAAGUGUAGGAGUAGUUUUAUACCUCUUGAUCUAGACUUUAGACCAAGGAUGGACCACCUCUAAGCCCUUUGUUGUUGGAACUCCUUGAGCCUAGCCUCCCUCCUUGCCUCCUCCACUUUGUUAGAAUGAGUGCUCCUUGGUUCUCCUUAAUGAAGGGAAAAUUAUGAGAUUAACACAUGGGAUUUCUAAAUGACUAGCAUGCAUAUACAAUUCAAAAUUUAUAUACAUGAGCAACGGAAGCAAUUUACAAAUAAUAUCAAAGCUAUAGUCAUGCAAAUCCCCUUCAAGGUUCAUAGGUUUAUAUAUAAUGCAUCAAAACAUUUUAUAAAAGAACAAAGUGAAAGUUUAGUCUUAUACCUCUUGAUCUAGACUUGAGACCAAGGGUGGACCACCUCCAAGCCCUUUGUUCCUUGAAGUCCUUGAGCCUAGCCUCCCUCCUUGCCUCCUCCACUUUGUUAGUAAGAGUGCUCCAAGGUUCUCCUUUAGUCUCCAAAGGAGAAGACCUCUAAAGAUCCACACCCACUAGUGUAGUGAGAUGGAUGGAGGAAUAACCAAAAAGGUGAAAGAUUGUUAGCUAAAACACCCUCUAGGUGGCCGGCCUUUGUGGUUUUAGAGAGCUAUUUUCUUUUGCCUCUUUGUUGUUCAAAAAACACACAAAAACCCUAAUGAACUUUGUGCUAUAAAGUUCCGUAUAUAGACAAAAAGAAACCUAGUCAACAACUUGACUAAAUAUCUCUCCCAAACCCUUUAAGUGGCCGGCCCUUUAGUGUUUGGUUUGGGCUUUGAGCUUUUAUUAUUUCAAGUCAUCAUAUGCUUGAAUAAAAGCCCAAUGGGUUUAGGCCCAAUGGGCCCAAUUAAACCCGAACGUUUCUUUAAGCCCAAAACGAUCUUUUAUCGCUUUUAUGAUUUCUUUAGACUUUCUAAAUUAAUCACAACACUUAAUUAAUCCAAUUAAUUAUUUCCAUCAUCCAUUAAUUACUCACUACAAGAGUGUAUCGGUGUACAAUCAUUUUAGGUUCUAAUUAGCAAGGCAGUGAGGUGAUUGACAUCAAUCCAAUUGAUUAUAUUUAAUCCAAUCACUUAGUGAAUUAAAACUUCAUUUUAAUUCACCUUUCUUCUUUGAUGACUACAUUUAAUCAUCUAGAAGAACUCACAAGCUAUGAGUGACAUCUAACCAUAUGUCAUAGCUACCCAAGCUAAUGUAGAAGUUGUUCGGAGAACCUAUUCAGUUGGAAUUACAAUGUAAUUCGAUAUUUCUCUAAAACAAUACUCUCAAUCACAUUACUAGGGUAUGGAUAUAUUAUGUCAAACCCCUAAUGUGAUUAUUCCUUCUUAUAUGAUUCUAUUGAGUCGUAUAGGAACGCUUUCCUUUAUUACGCUCGAUACUUCGGCCGAAGAUUCCCGAAUCAUAUCUUAGAGUAUUCUUCCUCUCUAAUCGAGGAUUAGAGAUUCCUUGUUGCGCAUUCACUUGCCUUCAUGACUAAGUGGCUUAACCCCAAUUAUGCCGUGGACAUCCGCGAAUGGGGUGACUUUGACAUAAUCAAAGAUUAAGUACUUAGCCACAAGACAACGACGAUGCCUCAGGUCAAAGGACUACUUACAUUAUUCCAACCAUUAGAGUUACUUGCUUGACAUGUGAGUAGACCUCCAUGCAAGUACUCUCGUUCGAUUGUGUUCAGUGAACUCAUUCUCUUAAUGAGCACCUACAUACUUGUCUUAGUGUCACAACACGAAUGGGAUGAGACUUUCCAUCCUUCCAUUUGAAGCGGACACAGUAUGUACCGGUCUAAGCAUUGUCAGUUUCCCUCCGACAAUCCAAUGACUAGGAACCUUUUGGACAUAAUGAUUAUGUGAAGAAGGUCUCUGUAGUCUAACAUCAUUAGAUUACUUCUUCAAUCGAUCCAUUAUCCAUGGAUACACUAUUUAGGACAUAUAUCGUUUAUUGAGAUAGUCCUAAUUCGUGUCUUUGCCAUUUGAUGUAUAAGAGUCAUCCAUACAUCGAUUUAUUUGUCCUGAAAGGUUUCUUCCAAAGAUUGACUUUCAGGGCAUAUUUCCAACAAUCUCCCACUUGCACUAAAGUCAAUCACUAAUGUAUCUUAUACAUCUUGUUGAGAGAGCUUAUGCUCGUAGGUUAACUUGGUUAUGUAUUAAUCCCUUUUAUUAUUUAAAAGGGAUUUUCUUAUCAAAUGUUUCCAAAACAUUUGAUGAUGUCUCUUUAUCGUGUUCGAAUACUUUGAUGAGACCUUGAUUCCAUGGCUUGAGCUAUCGCCCCAUUACGUCGUAGUACCCUACUGACGACCUUAUGGUUUGGAUUCAAUCAUUGGUUCUAAAAGAACCCCUUCCAUUCAAAACACCUUUUGAAGCAGUUUCUAAAACUAUAUAUCGACAUAUAUUUCGUUUGUAUACUUUAUACAAACUUUGCUCCAACCUUGAGACCAUUGUAGUACAAUACUAACAAUCAUUCAUAUGAUUAGUACUUCAUCCAUUAUGAAGUUCCAUUUGUUAAAAUGGCUUUUUUUCACUUUGGUUAACAACCUAAGUGAAUGCACGCUUCCAGAGUCCCACUCUGAUGUUUCUUUCUUAAAGGCAAUAAUACUCUUUCAGUUGCUUUGGUUCUGAUCCUGGGAUAUAGUAAUAUCUUAAAGUGACAACCCCUGUGGUUCUUCACCUUUGGAUAUCUACUUCACAAGUCAAUACAUGUGUCCCUUUUGUGAUUUUAUGACACAUUCAUUAUAAGGGUUAUGAAAGUGAUUUCCUAUCACAUAGGAAAAUUCUUUCUUAAAUCUACAACAUUUGAGAUUUAAUUCCCAUAUAACAUUAAUGAGAUAGCCUUGCUAUAUCAAUAAGUCCAAUUUCAAGUCUAUACUUCAAAAUUGACCGUGUCAUGUUUUGUCAUUUUUCGAGUAACCUCUAUGUUUUAUCAAGUCUAUCGAAUAGACUUUAUUCACAUCUUGUUGCUCAAAUUAUGACAUCACUCCCACUGGCCUUGUUGUAACUUAGCAUUCAUUCAAAAAUAACAAUUAUAUUUUCUUGAUUUGAAUGCAUAUUGCUCCCACUAACUUAAAUGAAUCACACAAAAGAAUUCCUUCUCAAGUAAUUCCAUUUGAAAUGUGUGACUUGUUCCAUUAAGUCUAUUCAUUUAAAUUAUAUGGUGUCAUACACCAUACUUCAAUUUUUAGUCAUACUAAGACCUUUAAUGUAGUCAUAUAAGAAUUAUCCAAGUCUUUAGUGGAAGCAUGGCUCCUACUAAGGAUAUAGAAACUCAACCAUUCCUUCUAGGUGGUUGAUAUAAUUCUUUAUUAAAACUACAUAGAGCAAUAUUGUUACAUGAGAUGUUGAAUUUGGUUUGUCUUGUUGUUAAACCAUAUGUUGUGACUCAUUUUGAAACUUAUUCCCUUUUGUUUCAUCAACUUGUCCAUAUGCUUGGUUAUUUAGCUUGUUCUCAUAAAAGAGAAUUAUGGACAACUCCCAACAUAUAACCAUUUUAUGCUAGGUUGACGAAACCAACAUUCAAAGACUAUUCUUUAGAAUGUCACACAACAUAGAAUUUUAACGUUUUGAAGAGCUUGAGUCUUUUAACAAUUAAAAUUGCAAACUCUUAAUAAUAGUCAAAUACUAUUAUUCUUUAGACAACUAUAAACCAAUCAUAUUCAAGUUUAUAUCCAUUUUCACACCUCCCACUAUUUCUCAUGACUUCAAUGAGAAAUCAUUUCAUAUAUUCAAAAUGUAUGAAAUUGGAGUAUAUUGGAAGAAGACAUUGUGUAGUAGCUUUAAAACAUUUCAAGCUUUAUUUGUUUCAAUCUUCACUAAGUUAAUGUCUUGUUAUUAAGUGACUAAAGUCUAUAAACAUUUUAUAGAUUUAGACACUUCUUUCUUGGUUUAAUCACUAACACAAUUGACAUUUUAAAACCUUUUAAAGAAUGCCCAAUUAGUUGUUCAAAAUUACUAAUUGAAUCAAGAGUGAUCUUGAUCAUUGUGUUUCAAGUGAUAACCAUAUAAGAAACGUUUUUCUUAUUACUUAUAUCAUUAUAAUGUGAUCUUCCUUUUCUUCAAGAAAGGAUACUCUAGACUUUGUCAAUUCAUAUAGAACUCAUAGGUAGACAAAUGGAACCAAAUCUAAAGAUUCAUUGUAUCCUUUUAUGUCCUACAUGUGAGAUCUAUCCAUAAUUGAUAAAUCUAAAGUUUGGUUAUCACAUUACAAUAAGUGAUAUAACUCUUGUAUCUCAACUAGGAUACAACAAGACAAUUUUCAAUUCAUAACACUACUUUAAGGAAAUAGUAUAUUAAAAAGGCAUUCUUCACAUUACAUUAAUAUGAUAUUUCAAACAUUCAUAAUGUUUAAUACAAAAAGUAUUAGCUCUAUACAUUUAGAGACUAAUAUAAAUACCUUUAUACAUUUAGGCACUAAUAGUGGUCUUCCAUCAUAUGAAGCCACAUAAUAAGUUCUUAACAAAAUAAGAAAGUUUAAAGACAAUCUUUAAUGCCUAACAAACUUCCUAAGUAGUAAGCAAAAAUAUAGUGGCCGAACCCUUCACCACAUUUUCCUUGCUUGUUCAUCUUCUACUUGGCUUCUCCACCUAUAUACAAUUAUACAAGUGAUUAGCUCUUUAUAUCAAAUAUAAAUAUUUAGAAGAUCUAACAUUUAGAAUUGAAGAUAAGAACAUAAACCAUACCUUGUGGCUUGUCCUUAAGACUUGCAAGGUAUAACCUGCAAUUCCUCCUCCAUGCCCCUCCUUUCCACAAUGGUGGCAAGUCCUUUUGGGCUCCUUUGCCUUCUUUUUCCUCACUCCUCCUUUCGGCUUAGGAGUGGGUGGCUUCUUCUCCUUCCCUUUGCCUUUGCCUUGCGGCUUGGCCUUGGAAGAGGAUGGCUUGUUGUAGACUACUGCAGAAGUCCCUACAACGUUCUCUUUCUUCAUAGUCUUCUCGACAGUUACUAACAUAUUUAGUAACUCAGAGAGAGUACUAUCCAUCUUAUUCAUAUUGUAGUUCAUUACGAACUGCGCGAAUGUAUCAGAAAGAGAAACCAAUAUGAAGUCCUGGGCCAAUUCCCCGUCAAGUAGAGUACCAAGGUUCUCCAAUUGUUCAAUGAAUCCUAUCAUCUUCAGUACAUGUUGAUGCACUGGAGCCCCCUUGACCAUCUUGGUCUUCACAAGUUCACAAACAGUGCUAAAGCGACGGUUGCGCGUCCCUUCACCAUAUAACUCCGUAAGAUGGAGUAUUAUGGAAGUUGAACUGUCCAUGCCCUCGUGCUGUCUCUGUAGCUCCUCAUUCAUGGAAGCCAACAUAUAACACUUGGCUUGUGUGUCAUCCUCAACGUGCUUGUCAAACUUAGCACGUUCAUCCUCAGUAGCCCCAGGAACUAGAGGUAUGUGAGGAGGAGCCUUGUCUAGUACGUAGACAAUCUUCUCCAAUGUUAGGAGAAUCUUGACAUUACGAUACCAUGAUGGGAAAUUGUGCCCCUCUAGGCAAUGUUUGUCGAGUAUUUUCGCGAGUGUGCUUCCAACCAUAUCUAAAUACAUAAACAAAAAAUAAUUAGUUUGAUUGUUGAUUAAGUCAAACGAUUCGGGUCUUUAAACCGAAUGACACCACCCACCAUUUUUGGCAAAUUCCAUAUCCCUCAAGAUGGAAUCCGGGAGUUUUCAAAGAAAGCUCCUAGCGGGUUAUGGGAGGCUCACUAUUACCAAGCCCACCUCACGAUGAUACGAUGUUGGCUAGCAAAAAUAAUAAUGAGAGGGUACAAUUACCCAUUCACAACAACUUCUUGUGAUUACCCAUCUUUUUGGCCUCUAGAGAGUAAUGCCUCACGAUGAUACGAUGUUGGCAUUAUUUCUCUUAGUUAAGUUCUUUCCCACCAUGCCGGUUUAGAUAGGGGUUCAAGCAUGACCUCACGAUGAUACGAUGUUGGCCACACUCAUUGCCUACCUUAACCUCAUCAAAUGUUUUAAAUAAACUCCUCCUGAGUAUAAGCAUGCACUUUGCACUCCCC
This 75404-nucleotide long non-coding RNA is filed under the name Malus domestica (apple). Its description in RNAcentral is "long non-coding RNA (MDOM_LNC010495)". The record is from RNAcentral. Lineage: Eukaryota; Viridiplantae; Streptophyta; Magnoliopsida; Rosales; Rosaceae.